CUCUCUCUGCAGCCCUGAACCUACCACUGGAAAUAGAGUGGGGUGAGAACUAUCUUCCAUAGUUCCCAGUGGGCUCGGCCGCCGACUCUGCCGAUCUCCCCACUAGGUCCAAGUGGGCACAAGUAACAACAGAUAGAUAGAUAGAUAGAUAUGUAUCUGAAAGCUGUAAAUGCAGUAGUAGGAAAACUAUGCUACUAUGCCCAUAAUCAUGAAUAUGAAUGCAUGCAUCAUAUAAUAAAGGUUUGCUACCAUGCUAACAAAUUCGAUCCAUGUUCGAAUAGCAAUGUUCAAUGACAUUAAUAAACCUUUAACCUUUUCAUUUACCCAAUCUGUGGCGAGGCCCUAGGGCUCGCCCAUGACUCACCUUCAAAUCCCAAAGUGGGGAGGGAGCUCCAAGUGCACCCAAGCCCGAGACCGUCUGCGGACGUCCAUGUGGUCCGGACCUCCAAGUGGUCCUAGUCGCGCGACACUCCGGAGUACUCGACGACAAUCCCCUCCAUGUGGGGAUUGGAUGGCUAUACCAUCCUAAACGCAGACUGUGAGCUAGAUCUAUCCUCUCCAAGUGAGGAUACACUGUAACUAGGGUCUACACCCAAUCCAAUCCUCUCCAAGUGAGGAGGCUCUACAACUAGAGUCAAUAACCCAAUCGAAUCCUCUCCAAGUGAGGACGCCCUACACUAGGGUCAACGACUAUCGCGGAAUCAUCGGUUCCCGACAUUCAUGUAAUGCUAUUUAGUUUUCUAAAUUCAUUGUUCACAAGGCAUUUUCUAAGGGAUCCACUUAUCCCUAGGUCCAUCGACCUCUAGUGUUAUUUACACUACAUUAAUGCCACUCGUUAUCAUUCAAUGUUUGGAUGCCACUCGUUUGUUCUUUAACAAUAACACUACUUUCUAUGUCAUCAACACUCCUAUCGGGUUCAUCUCUAUCUUUAGCAUCAUAGGAUCCACCUUCCGACCCAAUCCUCACCUAUCUAGUUACCAAGCGUUCCAAGUACACUAAGUCAUCAAUUAGAAAGCAUAAGGAAUGGAGCUACUAAGCAAUCCUACAAUGCAACAUGAAGAGAUGAGAUUAAAUGCAAUCUAAGACAUAGAAAGGAGUUCGAAAGUUUCGGAUGACACCCCCCACCUUUAAUCGAUGUAGAGGCUUGGAAAAUCCUUCUCGGCGAGCUCUACGAAAAGGCUUUAGCCUUCCUCGCCCGAAUCAACACUAGCCCGGCCCGAUUUUGCCGAGAACUUCACGUCGGUUCGCCGAAUGCCGAAAUCGACUUCGCCCCCGCGUUUUGUGACCUAUCAAUAGGGUUUCCAAGGCUUCAAAUGAGACCAAUCUCAUACUUAUACAAAAACCCCAUUUUGGAGCCCUAGGUUUGCACCUAUAGCAAACCACCCAAUAAAUCCCUAGAUUCUUGGGAUUGAUCUAUUUAGAAGCUAGCUUAGGGUCCAUUUGACCCAAUCCAAGGCAUAAAAUCCAAAAACUCUAAGUUUACAAAGCUAGGGUUUAGUAGCUUACCUCAAGAGCUACACCAAUGGGAAGAGGAGAGGGAGAUGGAGGUGCUCAAAGCCUUCCUCUUGAUCUCCUUCUUCUUCUCCUUCCUUAUCUUCCUUUUUUUUUCCUUCCUCUCCUUCUUAUUCUUCUUCUCCUUCUUUCCUUUCUAGAGAGAGAGAGAGGGAGCAAGAGAGAAAUGAGAGUGAGGGAGAGUGGAAUGAGAGAGUGUGAGGGAGAGAGAGGGCUCAGCCCACUCAAAUAAAAGCCAUUUUGCAUAAAAGCCCCUCAACUUUCCCUCCUGUGCACUGCCCUCACUAGGCAGUUUUCGCGCGGAGGGACCGGUCUCCCCGACUUGGGACCGGUCCCCGAGAGCUUCCCUCGGGCGCACGCGUUCGGGAACCGGUCUCUCCCCGGGAGACCGGUCCUCGGGAGACCGGUCCUCACCUGAGAGACCGGUCCCCAAGAGCUUGAUUUUCAGGACUUAGCCAAUUUUUGGCAUCUCUCGCUGGGACCACGUUCGGGAACCGGUCCCCCCCUACCAGGGACCGGUUGCGUCAUGCAACCCCGCUACAACAAGCCAGGGGAACCGGUCUCUUACUUGCAGAGACCGGUCCCCGAGAGCAACAUCAGCCCAAUGAUGCAAUUUGCCUCAUUUGCUCUCGCGGACUCAACUCCAAGGCACUUUUUGUGCUUUGGACAUUCCCAACUCCCACAAAGGGUAUACUUUUGACAAUUAGUCGAUCCUGGAUGAAGUACAAUCCUCAUAUUUCGAGAAUUCACUUCCUUACAUUACUUUUGUUUAGGUAGUUUUCUCUCUUUUGUGUUUUGUUGAGAGAGAGAGAGAUUUUGUAUCCAUGUAUAAAGACCACCUCUGUAUUACCUUCAGUUUAUGUACUCGGGUUUUGUUAUUGUACUACCUUAUGGUUUUAUUUAGUGGAUCUAGCUCUUUACUUAUUUUCUUUUCCUUGUCAUAGAUACUAGAUGUUGUAUACUCUGAUAUCUCUAGAUCUCUUCGUGUUGUUGCUUUAUUUAUUACCUUAUUGUAGACGCCUUAUAUAUUUUAGACGUAUGGCGGGUCUGGACACGCGCCGGGCGGGCUUCCGCUGUGUCCCGGGGCGUGACAGAUCAUGUCUAUGAUGUUCAUAAUGCUACAAUAAGUGACGAUACAUCUCAUUACUAUUCUAACCAUACAUUAUGCCAAUCAAUAUAAGUGUAACAUACUACCACUAGGGUGUCAAUGCUAACAAUGACUAACAUAAGGUCCACAUAUGCACUAUCAUGCAUAUCCACUAGUCCAACUGAUAUAAAUCAUCUAGUAGUAGUUUUCACAUUACACUUUAGGUUUCGUAGUUCAAUCCUCAUCAUGGAUCUACACAUGUGUAGUCCGGCUUGUGCCGUGCCAAAAAUGGCCCCGUAGUAGUCAACAUUCCCACUCUAGGAAUGAGCCUCCCCCACGGCAUCCCAUUUCAGCGCCCAAUCCCGCACGGGCGAGCUUGUGUCACAUAGGCUAUCUCCGGAGUGCCACCUUGUGGGGAGCGACCCUCACAAGAAUGUGUGAAUGAGCACAAAGGCAAGCAAGCGUGAUCAAUAGUAUCCAACUCUCGGUCAUCAUGUCUAAAAUAUGGAAUAAGUGGCAAUGACCCUAAAGGUCCCAUAUAGUAUUACGAUGUCAAGGUUUAUCAUUUAUUAACCCAAAUGUCACUACAUGACGUUCAUGAUUACUAUGUCAAGUAACAGUCACUAGUUCAAAUGCACACAACCAUUGCCAUUAUCCUAUCUAGGGUAGUUCACUUUUGUCCAAGUCUCAAUGAGAGUUCACACUUAGUCUAUUCCACUAAAGCUAAGGAAGUCACUUUCUUAUGGUGUAUGCAUAGUUACCACUAAUUAUUUAUAAUGCUCAUGAUGCAAGCCAUGCACAUAUAUCUUCCUACCCAUACCUCCACCUUAUGGAGUAAUAACAAUUAUGCGAGUGCUUUCAUUCAAUAAUGCCAUAUGCAAAUAUUCAACUAGAAUGAAUGUUCCAACUUGGUUUCUUAUAGAUCUUACAUGUACUACGUUACCAUGCCCCAACUACUUGCCUACAACAAGUGUGAUAUUGUCAUGCAAAUAUAUGCUAAGUCUCAUUCAUGCACAUGUCUAAGUCAUGUAGUUAUGCUAUCAAUCUCAAGGUCAACACCGUGUUAGUUACUAGGUCACAAUACCCUAUUUUCUUGUCUACACAAGUAUAUUAUUUAAUAUGUAAGAUGAUCACUUUACUAAACCGAUAAGUCGAGAUCCCCUAAGGGUCAUACCAUCAUUCAUGCUCUAACAUGCUUUCUAAGGUUGCAUAAAAGAGAAUUCACCAAAUAGGGCUAAUUCAUGCACAAGCUCACAUAAGAGAUUCUACUACAUAGAGCAUCAAAUUGUCUUUACAUAGCAUAUAUGUAAUGUUUCUCAUAAAUUAUCGCAUGUCAUUUUGAGUAUAAAAAACCAUUUAAUUGGAUCUUAAAACUAAAAGGAGGUUUAGGGGGGAGUUCACCUAUUUUGGUGAGAUCAAACCCAUCGGAAAUACUUCGAACUCUUUCGUAACGCCGAACGAAGUUGUCCCCUAAGAUUCUAGCACCCUAAGAAAAAUUCCAAAGGGGUUAAAAGUUACAAAACAACUACUUCAAAAAUUACACAUACAAGGUGUAAAAUAUACCUUGAGUCAAGAAGAACUUGAUCAAAGCCGAAAUCGAAGCUUGAAAAUUUCAAAUCCAAACUAUAAGAGUGUUCUACACUCAUCAAUUCCAACCCUAAAGCCUCAAAUCAAGAAACCCAAAAUAAAAUUCUAGAUUUCUCAUUUCUAGGUUUUAUCUCAAAAAUUCCACUAAAUCAAGAAUCAAAAUAGGGAAACAUGUUUCUAACCUAUCUAAAAGCUUCAAACAAGACUUGGAAUGAGCUAGGGUUGAAGAUCUCUCCUCCAACAAGCUUUUUACCAAGCUCCAAGCCUUCUCCAAAGGUGCAAAGUCCCCAAAAUGCAAAAUAGAGCAAAGAGGGGAGAUCAAAACCUAAAAUCCCAAGCAAAAAGGGAAGAAAAACUAAGGGAAAAAUAGAGUGGAGCUCACCUCUCCCUUUUCUAGUCGCAGCCCAAAAGCCCUUGUCCAAGGGGUGAGGGUGUAUAUAAGUUAUUGCGACAAAAGCGAAAAGAUCCUUCAAAAACUGCCAGACUGCAGUUUACACUGUGUACCGGUUCACGAAAAAGUGUAUCGUUACAAACUACUGUGCGCGCAAACCCGAGCCUCGGGUUGGCGGAAAACAACCCAUCUAUACCGGUACAAUCAUUAAGGUGUAUCGGUACAAAACCCGUUCCGGUACAACCAUUAAGGUGUACCGGUACACUUUCCUGCAGAGACAAACCCGAGAGCAACCCAAUAAUCUUCACUUUGGAGAUAUUAGUGCUAAGUUUAAACCUCGAUUCUCGAAAUACGAGCCAUAGGUCGGAACACUGUCGACGACCCUCCAGAAAGUCUGGAAAAAACUCAGAUCACAAAUCAAACACUCGAACCUCGCAAUUUGCAAAAGUUUAGUGUGUUACAAUUUGGCUAAAGUCCGGAUUACUUUACCGAAGUUUCGGUAUGUUACAUUCUCCACCCCUUAAAAUUAGUUUCGUCCGCGAAACUAACUUAAUUAACAUCUAGAUUUAUACCUUAAUCCAGAUUCUCGAAGAGAUGGGAAUAAUGCUCUCUUAUUGCACUCUCGAGCUCCCAAGUAGCUUCCCGAUCAUCGUGGUUCUUCCAACAAACUUUAACAUAUGAAAUCUCACGGAUUCCUAGUUUUCUUACUUCUCGAUCGAUGAUGUACGUCGGGAACUCUUCAUAAGUCAUAUCCUCUUGAAUCUCGGACGGUUCAAAUGAGAGAAUAUGCUUGGGAUCGUGAAUAUACUUGCGGAGAUUCGAUACAUGAAACACAUCGUGCACUCCCGCAAGCCUCGGUGGUACUGCUAACUUGUAUGCCACCGUGUCAACACGCUCCAAUAUCUCGAACGGUCCAACGUACCGGGGACUUAGUUUUCCACGGACUCCAAACCGUUUAACUCCCCACAUUGGGAUAUUUUUAGGAGUACGCUGUCUCCAACUGCAAACUCUAUAUCCUUUUUUCGCUUGUUGGCAUAGCUCUUUUGCAAGAAUGCGCCGUAGCAAGCCGUUGGCGGGCAAGGCGAACUUUCUUCUCCGCCUCCCGCACCAUAUCUGGGCCAAGAGUAACUCUCUCGCCCACAUCGCUCCAAUGAAUUUGAGAGCGACACUUCUUUCCAUAAAGGGCCUCGAAUGGCGCCAUCGCGAUAUUUCCUUGAUAACUAUUAUUGUACGCGAACUCCGCCAUCGGUAAAUGAUCAUGCCAUCCGCCCUUGUAGUCAAGUACACACGCUCGAAAUAUGUCCUCAAGUAUUUGUAUCAUCCUCUCCGAUCGACCAUCACUUUGAGGAUGAAAUGCCGUACUAAAAUCGAGCCGUGUGCCCAACGCAUCCUGUAGGCUCCUCCAGAAGUGAGAUAUGACCCUCGGGUCUCGAUCCGAUAUAAUAGACACGGGAACCCCAUGAAGUCUCACUACCUCGUCGAGAUAGACUUGAGCCAUCUUAUCUCCCGACCAUGUAGUAUGAAUCUAUAAAAAGUGCGCCGACUUCGUCAAUCGGUCUACUAUCACCCAAAUUGCAUCGUGUCCGCCUUGAGAUCGAGGCAAUCCGGUCACGAAAUCCAUUGUGAUAUUUUUUCAUUUCCAAACGGGUAUAGGUAGGCUUUGCAACUUUCCUACCGGAAACCGGCGCUCCGCCUUGACUUGUUGGCACGUAAGACAUUCUGCUACAAAUUCCCCAAAGUCUUUCUUCAUGCCCGGCCACUAAUAGUAUACUUUCAAAUCUUGAUACAUCUUGGUGCCGCCGGGGUGAAUACUAUAAGGAGAUUGGUGCGCUUCUUGUAUAAUCGCCUUGCGAAUGUCCUCAUUUUUAGGCACACACCAACGAUUUCUAAACCGGAGUGCGCCGUCGGUCCCAAUGCCAAAAUCAUCUACACUACCGCUCUCAACAUCACCCUGCAUCUUUUGGACAUAAGGAUCAGUAGCUUGUAGAUCUUUAAUCUUCUCCAACAAGGUGGGUUGAACCACCAAUGCCGCAAGUGUUGCUGGCAUUCCUGAAGCUACUACCUCAAGACCAAGUCGUUACAUCUCUUUUUGCAAUAAUGGUUGAGGUGUAAUUGCUGAAGCCAAGUUUUCUCACGAUUUUCUACUAAGUGCAUCGACCACGACAUUUGCCUUCCCGGUUGGUAUAAAAUAGUAACGUUGUAAUCCUUUAAUAGCUCUAACCACCGCCGUUGUCGCAUAUUUAACUCCUUUUGGGUGAACAAGUAUUUAAGGCUCUUGUGAUCCGUAUAGAUCUCACAAUGUUCACCGUACAAGUAAUGCCUCCAUAACUUUAGCGCGAAAAUAACCGCCGCUAGCUCAAGGUCAUGAAUCAGGUAGUUCUUUUCAUAAUUCUUCAAUUGGUGCGAAGCAUAAGCUAUAACUCGCCUAUUUUGCAUCAAGACACACCUGAGACCAACAUAGGAAGCAUCACUGUAUACCACAAUACUCUCCCCCGGCGUCGGUAAGGCAAGCACCUGGGUCGAUGUCAAUCUCUUCUUUAAUUCCUCGAAGCUCCGAUCGUAAUCAUCGCUCCAAACAUACUUAACUCCCUUGUGCGUGAGGCGCGUUAGUGGAGUGGUUAUUUUGGCAAACCCCCCCAUGAACCACCGAUAGUAACCCGCAAGUCCAAGAAAGCUACGGACCUCCGCAACACUUGUCGGGCGAGGCCAAUCUUUAAUUGCCUCUACUUUUUUCGGAUCCACCAAAAUGCCAUCACCCGAAAUCACGUGGCCUAGGAAAGUGACUUAUGAAAGCGAAAACUUGCACUUCUUUAAUUUUGCAUAUAGCUUCUAUUUUCGGAGUAUUUCCAACAUGGUCCUCAAAUGCUCCUCGUGUUCUUCCUCACUCCGUGAAUAAACUAACACGUCGUCAAUAAACACCACGACGCACCGGUCUAGCAACGGUCGAAUGACCCGAUUCAUCAAGUCUAUAAAUGCUGCCGGGGCAUUAGUAAGCCCAAACGGCAUAACCAUGAACUCAUAGUGGCCAUACCGCGUACGGUACGCCGUUUUGUGCACGUCCUGGGGCCGUAUCUUCAACUUAUGAUACCCCGACUGUAAGUCGAUCUUUGAGUACACCCUCGACCCUUGCAAUUGAUCGAACAAAUCAUCAAUCCUCGACAACGGGUACUUAUUUUUAAUUGUCACUUUAUUCAACUCGCUGUAAUCCACGCAGAGUCGUCACUUUAUUCAACUCGCGGUAAUCCACGCAGAGUCGAAAUGUGCAAUCCUUCUUCUUUCCAAAUAGCACCAAAGCUCCCCACGGUGACACGCUCGGCCUCACAAAGCUUUUAUCGAGCAAGUCUUGCAAUUGUGCCUUUAGCUCUCUUAGCUCUGUCGGAGCCAUUCUAUACGGAGCCUUCGAAAUUGGCGCCGCCCCGGGAAUCAAAUCAAUAACGAAUUUGAUCUCCCGGUCCGGUGGCAAUCCCGAUAACUCCGCCGAAAAUACAUCCGAAAACUCGCACGACAACUGAAUAUCACUAAGUUCCGGGUGCUCCUUUUGGGCUUCUACCAUUGUCACCAAAUAGGCUUCACAUCCACCCUUAAUCAUUUUUCUCGCCCUCGUCACCGAUACGGUCACCGCGAAGCGUGAGCUUUUACAUGCCUAAUAUACCAACUCUUCCUGAUUAGGCUCACGAAAUGUGAUCACCUUGCUUUUACAAUCUAUCACGGCAUAAUACUUGGAGAGCCAGUUGAUCCCUAAGAUUACAUCGAAUCCCUACAUUCGCUCUAGCACUAGUAGAUCUAUCAGCAUAAUCCAAUCACCGAUCUGUACUGGACAAGCCAAGCACUCAUCAUGAAUAUGAAACGAAUGCUCUGGAGCAUUUACCCACCAAUAAUCCUGAUUAUACGUGAUCUCCAUGCCAUGAGUUUUUGCAAAUGAUGCACCUAUGAACGAAUGUAAUGCACCUGUGUCGAAUAAAGCUCUAGCUCUAGUGCCUUUAAUCAAAAUUAUACCUGCCACGACAUCAUCUGGUGCUACAGGUUGCUCCUCCAUCUGAGUGGCAAAACCCGCCCACUCGGUGCUCUAGAUGUCUCCGGUUGACGCGAUGCAGAUGAGCGUCCAGCCGACAUCGCUGGGGGCAACCCCGCAAGCUAUCUCAGGGUGGAAGGAACUAAUGCCGCUGUCGGUGCAAACGAUCCCCAACUAGGGCACUCCUAGGCCAUAUGCCCCGGUUGAUCGCACUUGUAACACUUUCCUUCACGCUGCGGGCAGGUCGGCGGUCGAUGCUCACCGCCGCAAAUGAGUAGCGUGUGAGGUGGGUUAAUCAUCGGUUUGACUCCUAUGGGUUAUAUAGUCGACAUGUAUUCGGCACGUGUUUUUGCCUAUCGUAAUUGCUCUAUUCAUUGUUCAGCAUGAUUGAAAUAUGAAUUGGAGCUUAGUAUAUUGACUGUAGAUUCAUACAUAUUGGACUUGGAUAUAACAUAGGAGAAAACCAGUGAUUUGGACCUGUCACCUGCUUAACUACCGGAUUUAGCUUUAGGAGCCAUUGUUAUUUUGUAUCGCCGUAGUAUCAGCGUGGUAGAUACCCCAGAUAGUUUAGAUUACUAUUAUGCUCGUGAUGGGAUGCCAAGCCUAUUUUUACAGUAGUGUUUAGACUAUUCCGGAUUGUUGGAUGCUGUCGAGAUUGACGGUGGACCCAGAUUGCCAUUUUAGUAUCAGAUUAUGCUGAAGGCACGUGACUUGUUAGUUGGUAGACUAGUUGGACCCUGUGUACUUGACUAUAGCCUGCGAGAGCCUGAUUGAGCUCGACAGAGAUACGCUUGCAUACUCGGUUGGGUAGCGCCCAUGAGUGCCACUCCGGAGUCGGGCUUAGUGCUUCUGCGUUGAUGUCGAGGUGUCCUGUUUGGACUUGCUAUCCACUGACUGCUUAGUGUGGAGGUAGCUUUAGCUUCGACAGGAGAGACGGGCGUGUUCACAGUCCCUGGGACGGGUAUGAUUACAGUCCCGAGUGAGAUUGGGUCAGGUAUGACAUCUUCUACAGACUGUUAGUGUUAGAGCAUGAUAGUAUAGUGAUUUUUAGUUGUAGAGUUGUUCCAGCAUUAUUUAGUAUCCCACCUACCUUCUGUAGACUUAGUGGGUGGACCGAUGAUGUUGAGGGUGGCACCCACUAAGGACUACAUGUCUUUACAAUAGUUCUCACGCCCAGUUGCUAUUUGCUUUUGCAGAGCCUUCGGUUCCGGCUGCUGCAUCGUCCGAGAUAGAGCGUGGUAAGGGCGUUGCGAGUUAGAGCCCUACCAAACGAGCCGCCGAGUAGCACCAGCUACAGGUAGUUGUAGUUUUUGACUUCCUAUACAUACUGUUGUUGUAUCUCGCUUGGCGAGCUUUUGUUUACCGGAUGUUGUAUGUAUAGUGAACUUUAUUUUUCUAUCUGGUUAUACUUUGGCUAGCAGCUCUGUAGUGUUCCUGAGCUUUGGAUAGGAUUGGCUUCAAUAUUAGUGACUGGUCGACAUCUCUGGAGAGUGUCGAACUAAGUCGGAGUCAAUUCCGCACGAAUUGGAUGCAGAAUUGGACUCGACGCACUCAAUUAAGCAAAACUGGAGUUUUGCCAGUUUCGGGCGCCCAGAACAUUUUUAGGGUCGCCCAGAAACGAGUGUUGAAUUUAACUGAAACUGGAGGCCAAUUCGGAUCCCAUGUUCCGGGUGCCCAGAUGUGGGUCCGGAAAUUCGACAUCGUGAAUAUCGCUUGCUUCGAUGCGUGGCAGGCGGCAGGUGAGUUCCGCCGGAGCCAUUUACGGGCGCAGCACACCGUGAGCAGAGAGUCCGAGGAGCCCGUUUUGUGCAAGCUGGAUGUUCUGGUCGCCCAAAACAUGGUUCCGGGCGCCCAGAAACGCCCGUUUCUGCAGGGACACUGGAUAGCAGCUUCAGUUCCUGAGGCUUUUUGGAUCAUUCUAACUCACUAUAAAUACUUGGUAAACACCCCUUUGCUGCUCUUUUCCCCCCUUCUUCACAGAGAAGUCUCUUUUAGCAUCUCUACCCUCGGAUUUGCCUCAAAUUGCAUUAAACUUCCAUUGAUCCAGCUUGAUGGAGUGCUGAUUCUGUAGUUCUUCAGCGACGACCUCCAGUGUUUUGGCUCGUGCGCGAUGUAGGAAGGUCGGAUUUCGACGAAACUUGGUUUGCUGGAUUCUAGACUUCCAGAGGAAUCUACGAAGCCCUGAAUGGUAGAUUUUGGUUGAGGUUAGCUUGGUCGAACUGAGGUUUUUCUAGACUACUGUUGGCUUUGAGCUGAAAAUAGAAUUUUUGAGCUUUUCUUGAUGCUAUCUUUGUUGGCAGUGGAAUUUUGGACCUGAGUUUGAUCACCCCUCAGUAUUUGCUGAUUUUGGAACUGUUCUCACCUGAUUUGGAGAUCAUUAGGUGAGUUUUGACAUUGGAAUUGAGAAAUCCUAAGCUUAAGGCUAAAAUUGAUGAAUUUUAUUGGAUUUUGGAUGAAUUGUUAUAUCCAGAUCUUGAUGGGCUUUGUUGCUGGUUUGGAGGAGUUUCCAGCAGUGUUGCUUGUGAUCCGAGACCCUCUUGCUGCCAGGAGUUUCACUAGAGGUGGGUUAUCAUCGGUUUCGCUCCUAAGUGCAUGUUUAGUCGACGUGUAUAGUUCGAUUUUUGUAUAUCAUGCUUUAAUUCAUCGAUUAGCAUCUUGAAUGUAAUAUGAAUGUAGAAGCAUGCUGAAAUGAAUAUUUAUAUUAUACAUGUUGGACUUGAAAUUUGACUUAGGAGAAAACCUGCGUUUUGACCCGUCAUAUGUUUAAACUACCAGAUUUAGCUCUAGGAGCCGAGAUUCGAUUGUAUCGUUGCAGUAUUAGUGCGAUGGAUAUCUGGGGUAGUUUAGAAGGCAUUUACGCUCGUGCUGGGAUGCCGAGCUUAUUUUUCAGCAGAGUUUAGGCUGUUUCGGGUCGUUGGGUGCCGUUCGGGUUAGCGGUGGACCCAGAUUCUUGUUUUGGUCACAGAUUGUGCCGAGGGCACGUGGGUUUGGUUUGUAGGCCUGUUUUUACCCUGUUCACUUGACUUUGGCUAAUUGGAGCCUGUUUGAGCUCGACAUAGAUACGCUGCAUACUCGGUUGGGUAGCGCCCACGAGUGCCACUCCGGAGUUAGGCUUUGUGCUUUCGCGUUGGUGUCGCUCAUGCCGGUUGGACUUACUCUCCACGGACCAGUUAGUGUGGAUAGAGCUGGAUAGUCGCAACUCGGCAGGGACGGGUGUGUUCACAGUCCCAGGGACGGGUAUGUCUACAGUCCCGAUUGGAUUGGGUCAGAUUGGACAUUUCCUACAGUUGGUUAGUGUAGAGCAUGAUAGUGUAGUGUUUGAUAGCGGUAGAUUUUAUUCCUGCAUUUACUACUAUUCUUGCUCCCUUCUAUAGACUUAGUGAGUGGACCGAUGUUGUUUUGGGCGGUACCCACUGAGGACUACUUGUUUUUACAGUAGUUCUCACGCCCUGUUGUUACUUCAUUUUUGCAGAGCCAUCGUCUUCGGCUGCUGCUAUUGCUGAUAAGGAUCGAGGCAAGGGCGUCGCGAGUUAGAGCCCUACCCGACGAGCCGAGCUAGGGGUGCCCUACUACAGGUAGUAGUUUUGUUGGAGUUCAUGUACUUACCUACCUUUAACUCGCCAGUGCGAGUAGUUUUUGUGUAUCUUGGAUUUUGGGGUAUGUAUAUGGAACUCAGUUGGUUUUCUCCGUUUCUCCUAACCAGCUCUAUACUACUGUUUGUAGUAUUGUUUGAUUUACAGAUACAGCUAUCGCUUCGUAUACAGGAAAAAUUCCUUUGUAUACGGCGGAUUUGUCGGCGCGCCCGGGGAACGUGUAAUCCGGGGCGUGACAAGCUCUAUACUACUGGUUGUAGGAUUGUAUAUUUUACAGGUACAACUAUCGCUUUGUAUACAGGAGAAAUUUCUUUGUAUACGGCGGAUUUGUCGGCGUGCCCGGAAAAUGAGUAAUCCGGGGCGUGACAAUAUAUAUAUAUAGUAAAGGUACUAUGCUAUCGGAAGUAUAAAUUAGUUGGUACUUUCGAUUUUUUAGCCCUUGGAUCAAAAAUUAUACGGUUGGGAUGAUAGCAGUCCCCUUAGAGUUGAGUGGUCCCCCUAGGGUUGAGCGGUCCUCAUUGGUCAAUAAUAUUAAUCCAAUGGUUAGAAUAAUCAAUGGAGUUGAUCUAAGGGCUAAAAAAUCAGAAGCACCAACUAGUUUAUAUUUUCGAUAGCUUAGUAGCUCUUCUAUAUAUAAAUAUAUAUAUAUAUAGAGAGAGAGAGAGAGAGAGAGAGAGAGUUGAGCUAGAUCUCUAAAGCACAUGAAGGUAGGUGCUUUUGAAAGAGAUAUUUAGUUCAAUAAUAUAUAUAUUUAUUAUAUACUUAUACUUUAUAUAUAUAUAUAUAUAUAUAUACUAUAGUCGUCUCCGAUACUUUCGAACAAGUACGGGAGGCCCGGUGCUUGUAAGUUGUUUUCGAUGACUAGGACCGUUCCGAUUCGCACGAUCGCUCGUUAGGCUCAUGAUCUUCCUAUUGAGAACUAUCUAGAAUCAAUUUAGAUUUUUUUGACAGUAUUUACUAGCCGAUCAAAGAGUCUAAAAUGAUUUUACGGCGUGUGGAAUUUUUAAUGUGUCAACGGCUUGUUAGAGAGUAUCCAAUAUUACAUGAAUUUAAUAAAAAUUUACUUAAUCAAAGUAGCCGAUAUCAUUUCGAUGUAAAUUUGAAUCUUUUAUCACUUUUUUAUGAGAUUUGUUCAUUUUCUAGCGUUCAUUUUUGGUAACUGUUCCUAGACGCACAAACCGAAAUCAAAAAUAUAUGAAUUUGGUUUUCUAGUAGUUCGCUCCAUGGAUGUAAGUUUUAACAACUGAUCGCUGAAUCGAGAACUGUCCACAUUCAACAAGAUUAACAGAACGGGCCACAGCCCAUCCGCGUUACUUUCGACGCAUAGGAGCCUAGCUCUGUUAUUCUCUAUCUUUCUCUCUCUUAUAUUAUAUAUAUAUAUAUACUAGUUAUAGUCAUGUGCAAUGCCCGUCACAUUUAAUUAAAUUAAAGUUAUAUUUAUAUUUUAAAUUUAAAUAAUUAUUGAUAGUAUUAGUCUAUUUAUCAAUUAAUUUUUUUCUAACUUAAAUUUUUUUAAUUUGUAUCCAAAUUUAAAAAUUUGAAGUAAUUCUAAAUUUUAAAUUAAUGAAUUCAUAUUUAAAUUUAUGAACAAAACUCAAAAUUUGAAGUUAAUUUUGAGUCCAUAUUUGAAUAUAAAUGGUUAUAGAGACAUUGAUUUAUUUAACAUCCCAUCUAUUUUUCAAAUUUGAUAUAUUUUUAAGUUAAUUAAUUAUUUUCAAUUUGAAAUACUAUUUACACACCCAAAUAUUGAAAUUUGAAUUAAUUUCAAAUUUUGAAUAAUUUAAAAUUUAAAGUUGAUUUGAUAAACUUAUUUAAAUCAUUCUAUUUUUCAAACUUAAUUUUCUUUUAGUUAGUUAAUUGAGAGAUAGUGAAUACUAAAUAUUUUCAAUGUGAGUUGCGUAGAAUUUUUUUUUGAUGAGUAUGGAAUAUUUUUUUAUGGGGCACUUGUGAAAAAUAUUCAACAGUAGAUAUUUUUAGAUUGACAUAAAGUUGGAUAAGUAUGAAUUUUUUUUAUAUUCUCGUAAAUGAAAUGCAAUAUUUUUUCCUAUUAAAAAAAGGUCUGUCAACAGCUAUUUUAUUAAUAAUCCCAAAUCAAUAUAAAUUUGUGAAUCACAUUUAUUUACAAAUUUAAAAUUUUAAAUUAUAAAUUCUUAUAUUAUAUUUUAUUAAAAAAUAUCUCAUAUUUUAAAUAUUAGUAGAUAAAAUUUAGAUAAUUUUUAUAUAUUCACCUUUAAAAAAAUAUAAUUAAAUAUUAUAUAUGCGGAAGGUAUUAUGUGAUAGGAUAUUAUGUAGGCCGUAUUACGUGUGAGAAAGAAAAUAUUUAAAAAAUUCUUAAAUUGCAAAUAUUAUUUAUGAUAAAAAAUAGAUAUUACGUGGGCUACGGUUAUUAGAAGAUAAGGUGCGCAUAUAAAAUGUAAAAUUCAAUAUGCACUUUUUGAGGGCAAUUCAGAUAAAAAAAGUGACAGAUACUUAAAUCGUCAACUAUUGGAUUAAAUUCGAAGACUAAGAAUUAAUAUAUUUUAUGAUAAUUUAAAAAUAAAAUAUAAAUUGUACGGUUAUGAUUUAUUCUAUUAAACUUGAAUGAAUGAUAUUGCUAGUAUGCGAUUGGAAUUAUAUUAAUAGGGAGCGAUAUUUUGGGAAAGAAAAAAAUUUUAAAACUUGCUCUUUUAUAAGUAGUAUAUAUAUAUAUAAUAUUUACUAAGGAUCUAGGAUACUUUUACAAGCUAUCCAUCCCCAUCUUAUUGCUAUUCAACUUUUUAGCCAUUGGAGUCUACUUUUGUUUACAAAUAGCCCUUGGAUCAAACACUAUUCCACCUACCACCACCCUACCACCUACCUACCACCCAUCUAUCCAACCUUUCACAUCUUCUCCAUCCAAGGCUAAAAACACACAAGUACCACUGGCUGAUACUUGUAACAAGUAUUCUACCCUACUCAUAACUAUAUAUAUAUAUAUACUGCUCUAUAUAUAAUAUGACUACAUACUACGGUAUACUAUGAUAUAUAUAUAUAUAUCAUAUAUAUAUAUAUAUAUAUUAAUUACUAUAUUAUAGAUCACAGUGGGUUUAACGGAGCCCGAUCCGACGAUUUCGAAGUCGCAAGAUCGAAACGAGCCUGGAGCACGGAAGGCUCCAGUGCUUCCGAUCAUAUAUGGUCUCCGUGCUUCCGAUAAUAAUACUAGAUGUAGGUCUACUAUACCUUAUCGUAAGCACGGAGCCUUUCCGUGCGUUCCAGCUCGUUUCGCAUCUUGCGACUUUCCAAUCCGUCCGAUCGGCCUCCCUUACACACUUUGAUCUAGACGUAUUGAAGUACCCUACGAAAUAAAUUUACUGACUUUCUACGAUAUAUUUGCUUACGUGAACGCAAGGGCGCUCAAAAUCAACGGCUACAAAUAAAAAUCCUUACAUAAAAUGUAAUAUGAUGACACUUAAACAUUUUAACAAAGAGGGUCAUUGAUCUUCGUUCUAUACCUACUGUCAAAAAAUUUUUCUAUCAAAAUUUCACGCCGACUUCUGGAUAUCUUUUAACACCCGUUAAAACUUGCAAACGGCUCACCGCGCCAUGCUACAAUUUGUUGAUUUGAGUCCCAUUCGCAUCACUACGGCAAAUGAUCAAUCCGAAAGAAUAAUAAAUUUAUUUUCUAGUACUCCCAAACUACUCUAAAUCAAGCUUUAACGAGCCGAUCCCGACGAAUUCGAAAGUCGCAAGAUCGACAACCGAGCCGCGAAGCACGUAAGGCUCCGUCGCUUCCGAUUAGCAAUAGUAGCCUCACUCUAUACUAUAUACUAUUAUAUAUAUAUAUAUAUAUAUAGUAUUCUAGCCUAUCAAUCUCAACCCAUACCCGCUAGUGCUCGCGGAUUACACGCAAAUUUGCGGGUAUAGACACCAAUUUUUUCAACCUAAAAAAUUACAGAUAAAAAAUUAUGAAACUAUAUUCGUUUAGUGUCAAAUGAAUCCUCUACCAUUUUAGUAGCAAUAGGAAAUUAAUUUGAAAUACACACAAAUAUCCUCGAAGCCCCUAUGGUGGGCAAAACCCAAGCUUUGCUCGACGCGGUACUCAACCACCACCCACCCUCCUUCCCUCUCCUUUUUCCCCGAGUCCAACAAACGUUUUAAAUGUCCCAAUCAAUUCAUCUCUCUCUCUCUCUCCCUCCAUUACCCCGUCCCACCUCUCAUUUCUCCGCUCCAAAAGUUAAUCAUACUCCACACACCUCCAAAAUAAGAACCAUCCACCUCCUACCCCCUUAAUUCCCCUAUAUUUUUAAAGUUCGUCAAGAACCAUCCACCUCCUACCCCCUUAAUUCCCCUAUAUUUUUAAAGUUCGUCUCUCUCUCUCUCUCUCUCUCUCUCUCUCUCUCUCUCUCACUCUAAUUACUUCUUGCGUUAUAAUACGUUAUGCUUGAGUGAGACUAACUCUUUCUUGGCUCCCAUCUUGCUCUCUCCUUUCUCUUUGUGGACUCUUGUACGUAGUGGUUGUGAGCUCCCCCACCAAACAAGCCAAAUAAUCCCGAUCGAGAAGGCACCCAACUCACUACGUACCUCCUCUUCACUUGGGAAGAAGAAAGAGGGGGAGGGGGAGGGGGAGGGAGAGGAGACGGAUCAAGGUGGAAAUGGGCGGCGAGAGGAAGAAUUCGCUUCUUACUCUCGCCGGGCGGGUGCUGAAUUGUGCGGUGAGCUUUGUCGUGUUCUCCGUACUCGACGUUCUCGAUAUAAUCCUCUGCAUUGUCUACAAGCUCAUCGAUUAUGCCGUUGAGGCCGAGUGGAAGCCGUGCUACUGCUCGGCCUCCAAGGACAUGGUUGCCGGCAGCGGCAGCGGCAGCGGAGGCGGGCCAAAGGUGGUGCGGCUCUGCUCGUCGAAGCUCCAGCUGGAGGACGUCUCCGACACGCUGUACGCGCGUCCUUCAGUCGUCAUGGACGCUGCGAGGAAGGCGGGAACCACCGGCAGCGGCGCAUCAGUUGUCGUGAGCCCGGCACCGGCUGCGCCGACGUUCCGGGUCAGCACUGGUGUUGCGGAGAUGAUCCGAGGGAAGAUCGACCGGCAGCGGCCUACGCGGCCGGUGCCCUGCUGGUCCGACUGCUGCUGUAAGAUCUGCAAUUCGUGGAGCACCGCCGCGACCCCUUCCCAGCUUUACGUUCACGUGGAGGGCCCAAGAGGUAAAUGCUGCAUGCCCGAUCGAGUUAGGAUCCGGCCGGUAAAACGCAAACGGUAGUGUAAAUUUUAAAAACCUUACUUUUACCAACUAUAUAUAUAGUCGAUCGGUUUAGAAAUGAAAAAAAAUGCAUAUUGGUACGUAGUUAAUGAUCAAUGAAUUUGUGAUAUAUAUAUAUAUAUAUAUAUAUAUAUAUAUAUUGAAUCGAGAAAUGUGCACGCACAGUAUUGUCAUGCAUCUUUUUAAGUUUUUAAACACGUACUACUAGUCUGUAUAAUUUAAUAUAUUUAUCAAAAAAGAUUAUUGUUCUCAUUUUUAUCGGGCGAAAUAGCUAGUAGAUAAUAAUUUUUAAAAACAUUUUUAAAAGUGAAAAAUUUUAAUUAUUUUUUAAUUUCAUUUCUUAUUGCGAGAUGUAGUAUUUUGGAUGAAAAAAUCAAGCGUCUUAUCUAAAAGUUUACCAGGAGGUCGAACACGGGCAGCGUGCGUAAUGCAUGUGCUUAAUCCAACUAAACUAAAUGACGUCAAUGUUAUACGUACGUACAUUUUAAUUUGAAGAUUAUGUCGUCAUUAAAAUAUUUAUUUGGUGUUCCGGAGGGAAUAUAUAUAUAUAUAUAUAUAUAUAUAUAUGCUACAGAAAUUUUGCUCAUUAAUUAAUUUGCACAGAUGGUACGCAAUCUCGUAAUAUUAUUAUUUUGCGACUAUUAAUUAAAAUUGCCGAUCGACUGAUGAGUGGGCGUGCAUUAACGAAAUUGAGCAGACGGGGCGGCGGUGCCGGCGACGGAGGACGUGGUGUUCAUCCACGGAUUCAUCUCGUCGUCGACGUUCUGGACGGAGACGGUGUUUCCGGCAUUCAGCGAGCUGACAAAGUCGAGGUACCGCCUCUUCGCGAUCGACCUGCUGGGGUUCGGGCGCAGCCCGAAGCCGACGGACUCGCUGUACACUCUGCGGGAGCACCUGGAGAUGAUCGAGAAGUCGGUGCUGAAGCGGUUCGAGAUCGGGAGAUUCCACCUGGUGGCGCACUCGCUGGGGUCGAUCCUGGCCCUGGCGCUGGCGGUGAAGCACCCGGAGGCGGUGCGGUCGCUGACGCUGGUGGCGCCGCCCUACUUCCCGGUGCCCAAGGGGGAGGAGAGGGCGGCCGGGCAGUAUGUGAUGCGGCAGGUGGCGCCGCGGAGGGUGUGGCCGGCCAUCGCGUUCGGGGCGUCGAUGGCGUGCUGGUACGAGCACGUCAGCAGGACCAUCUGCCUGACCAUCUGCAAGCACCACCGCCUGUGGGAUCUGCUCUUCCGACUGCUCACCCGCAACAGGUAUGUAUGUGUGCUCUCAGCCAAUUACACACACCUAGCUAGCACUUAAUUAGCACUUGCCUUGCCUAAUUCCCUUUCCCUUUCCCUUUCCGUUUCCGUUUCCCUUCCUCUAGCUGUGCGUUGUGUUUGCUCUUUCUUCCGUCUCCAACCGUUUCGGUGGCUCCGCUUUUAUUAUUCUCGCCUCGUAUUUAUUCCUUCCCACGUUAUUGGCUUCUCACCCUCUAUUUUGCGCUCCACGUGCCCGGUCCCACAUAAAUAACAACCUGUUUAAUUCGUCCAACACUAGUGCUGCAGGUACACACAAUAUCGACGGAAGAAAAAUGCUACUAGCUAGCUAGCUAUAUAAGGUUAGAAUCAAAUCAAAUCAAAUCAAAUCAAAUCAAAUCAAAUUCGCAUGGUUGGAUUAAUGUGAUCCCUCUUAUUAAUUAAUAUUUAUUUAUUUUAUUUAUUUAUUUAUCACCUCUUUAAAUAUAAAAAUAUAAUAUAAUUAAAUUCAGCAAUACAACAAUUAACGACGUUUUAAUUAAGAGAGAUAUUGCGGAAAAAUCCAAAGCAUUUUUUCCUUUGUCUCGACGAAUAUUAAUUUAUAUAGAAGAUUCCAAAAUAUUAUUUUUCUAAACUGUUGAUGGGCAAGUUGAGAUGCAUGGUAUAUAAGAUUUUGUUUAAUGUAUACAUGCAAUUUUAAUAUAUAUGCUGUAUAUAUAUAUAUAUAUAUAUAUAUAUAUAUAUAUGAUGUUAGCAGAUAUAUAGCAAUGCGGCAAUAUAUAUAUAUGGUUCCCUUUUCCUGAUUCAAAAGUUAAACGGUGAUAUAUCGAUUGCAUGUCGCUAAUUAAAAACUAGCUAGCUAGCUAGUAUAAUAUAGUUAGUUUAAAUCACCGGCCGAUCGAAUUAGUAAAAUUUUGAAUCAUGUACAUUUUAAGCACCUGUCGACUUUGGCUUUAACAAUCAUCGUAUGAUAUGAUUUUUUGUAGUUAUUGCCAAAUCGAUCAUACUUGUGAGCCGCCCGCUCCGUUUGAAUUAAAUGGUAGACAGCACCAAAUAAUUAAGAAGUUAUUGGAAUUCAUUUGAUAUUUUAUUCUCUCACCCACACAGUAGCAAAUUCGGUUUUCCCCGUGGGGCCACUGAGUAUAUAUAAGGUCUGCUUUAUCUGUUUUGCCUCUGGUUUCAAUGGCAACAAUAAUUACCGUGCUUGAUAAAAAAUAAUUAAAAAUUCUGCUGUAGACAGAAAAUUUUGAGCCUCCAAACAAGAAAUUCCGACUGAUACUUUCGAUUAUAUAUACGCGACACUAACUGAAUGUAAUAGUUAUAUGUAUAUAUUAUUAUAUAUAUAUAUAUAUAUAUAUAUAUAUAUAUAUAUAUAUAUAUAUAUGAAAUAUAAUAGGAAUAAAUCUUUUAAUCAGGUUAUAGCAUUUUAGGUGAUUGUUACGCCCAAAUGGUUAAGAAAAAUUAAACGUGCUAGGGUUAGAAUAAUCAUAGAAUGUGUGACGCCCUAGAAAAUGGGGUAUUACAGUGGGUAUUAGAGCCAAUUACCAGCCGAAAAUAUUAGAUAAAUGUCGGCUGAGCCAAAAUUAUAUAGCGAGCUCAUCGGCAGAUCAUAGUUGUGGGUGGAGCACGACUCCCCACAAGGUCAAACGAGACCCCACAAGGUCAAAUGAGAUGAGUCUCAAAUCGCCUAUUGCUUGUGAAUAUGUUUAAGCCUAUCGAGAACGUCGAUAUAAUAGCACUGAAAUAGUUUUAUAUAUGAGAUAUAAUAAAAUAAGAUCAUUUUACCCGAAUAUAGCAUUUUAGGAGUGGCUAGCUAGGUUAAUUUAAGAGAUUAGGAGAUUUAAGCAUGCUAGGACUAAAUGGGCGACUCAUUGGAAAGUGGGGCAUAAUAGUUGAGGAUUGUGGAUCUAAAGUUUCAAUUUUGUUUGUGUCCAAAAGUUAUAAUUUUUUUCCUUAGAAUUUAUUUUAUUUUAUUUUUUGAGUUUUAAUAUUAAAGAAUAUUUUGGAUGAAGUUAAAAUUAAUAUGUGAUAACAGAUCAAGAACUUUGUAGCAAGAAACAGUUGGAAAGUUCCCUAUUAAAAUUUUAUUAAUUAGUUUUUUAGUUUCCCCCGCCCUUAUUUUGAACGGCAGCUUACGAGCUGUCAGAGCCGCGAAGAAAUCGAUGGCCUGACAUAUAUGGUAGGAGUACGUUACGUUUACUUUGCGUAACGACCUCUGAGGUCCUGCCGUGGGAGUGCGGGACGUCGGGUACGAAAUGCGGGAAACAGCUUCGGGUUUCGUACCACCGCGAUCGAGUAGGAAAACCAAGUCAAAUUUUCCACAUAUAUAUCAGGUAGGUUAAUUUCUAAUUGGGAGACGUUAGAUCGAGGAAAAAUUCUAGAAUGCAACGGGUAUAUUAGUGACGUGGCGUAACAAACCAAUCAAAUUAAUUCUUUUAAAAAUAUAUGUCCCAUCAUGAUUGUAAAAAAGUAUUUUUAUUGUAUUUUUGUUUGAAAAGAAGGAAUGUGAUUGGCUUGUUAUUGAUGACGUGGUGCAAGUGUGACAGUGUAGAAUUCCUCUAGAUCGAGACACGUAAAAAUAAGUAAUAACCGAAAGUAAUGUCAGUGGAAACAUAUAUAUAUAUAUAUAUAUGUAUAUAUAUAUAUAUACACAUAUAUAUAUAUAUACAUAUAUAUAUAUAUAUAUAUAUAUAUAUGAUAUAUAUAUAUAAUAUAGAGUGGGCAUAUAUAUUAUAUAUAGAGUGAAGUGAGGCUACUAUGCUAUCAGAAGUCGGAGCCUUCCGUGCUUCCAGCUAGUUUUUGAUCGUUGCACUUCGAAUUGUCGAUCGGUCUCCGUUAAACUUGAAUUCUAUGAGUAUUUGGGAGUACCUACAAUAAUGCGAUAUGGUGCGUUUGCUUCGUUUAACGGAUAGAAGAGCUUCAAAUCAACUAAAAUUUUUUGUUUAAAAAAUCUUUUUAAACUUUUAAAAUAAAAACGAUCUAGACUCUAGAUCCAAAUAUAAAAAAUUGUAUUAUCACUUUUUUCAAGGAUAGUUAUUUCCAGCCAUUUAUUUUUCUGUUUCACUUGAUGGACAGAGAACAAUAUCUGAAAAUGUGUGUUGAAAUUUGGAUUUCCAGGAUAGUUUAAGUAGUUUUAUGAUCUGUGUUGUAACAGUGCCGAUCAUCAAUUUGGAAGCCCUAUAUCAAAACAAAUCGGUAGCUAACGGCUCGUUUUACUACGAUAGUUAUUCUAGCAAAACCCUAUAUUAUAUAGUAUAUAUAUAUAUAUAGAUGAGAGGAGAGAGAGAGAGAGAUGAGGAGAGGAGACGAUGAGAGAGAGAGAGAGAGAACGAGAGAGAGAGAGAGAGGGAUGGAGGAGGGGAGGGGAAGUUGAGCUGGGAAUACUAUCGGUAGCAAACGCGGCUCCGUGCACCAUUUGUUUUCGAUGAUGGGAGCCUCCAAAUCGACGAUUAGUGCCGUUAAAAAUGCAUCAGUAUUACACUUGAUAUGGUAUUCUGAGAAUCAAAUUUCAUGCUUUUCCGAAUAUUUUCUCUUGUUCACUCAAGUGGGCGGUAUAAUGAGAUGGCUAAAAAUGAAUAUCAUCUACAAAAGUGAUGAUAGGAAUUGUUCUAAUCAAGGAUCGAGGUAGUGAGAUCUUGUUCUAAAUAGUUUAAAGAAUUUUAAAAUAACGAAAAUAUUCAAUUGAUUGGAUAGGUUACACGUAAACGAGAAAACCCUAUAUUUGACCAUUAAAAUUUACAAAUUUUUGAAACCCUUUGAAUCUAUUAGGUCAGAUGGAUGCGUCGGAGAAAGAUUUUGAAAUUAAUUUCGAGAUACUUCAAAGUGGUAUAGAUCAUGAUUCAACCGCCAGGGCUUACCGAUUAUCGAUUUGGAGGAUCUAAUCAGCUGAAAUUUAAAUGGAUGGCACAGGGGAGCCGUUGCUAUCGAUAGAUUCUACCUCAAACUUCUAUAUAUAUAUAUAAAUAUUAUAUAUUAGUCCGGCUAGGGGGGAUACUAUCGGGGAUAGCGCACAAGGAUUUGGUCAUCAAGUUGUUCUGCCGUUUCUUACAUUUACCUUUUUAUCAUUUUAUCCAUUGAUUAUACUAUUCAACGCAACACCCAUCAACAUAGAAGGACCCCAUCCAUCCUAACUAUACAUUUUUUAAUCCAAAAGGACAGCCAAAACUUAAUGUACCAGAUAUGGUACUAUUAAUAGUAUUCCAGCUAGUUAUUAUAUAUAUAUAUAUAUAUAUAUAUAUAUAUAUUAAUAUUAUAUAUAUAUAUAUAUAUAUAUAUAUAUAUAUAUAUAGGCUUGACGCUAGGAAUACUCUCAGAUAGUAAAAUGAUUGCAUAUUUACUAUCGAGUUGUUUUCGAUCAUAGAGCUUCCAAAUUGACGAUCGGCUCCGUUGAACAUGAUCUAUACCACUUGAAGUGUUUAGAAAUCAAAUUUCAAAUCUUUUCGACAUCAUUUGCCUAAUGAUCAAAGCGUUUCAAAAUUUGUAAUUUUAAUGGUGGAUAAGAAACGUUUUCUCGUUUAAUGGUGUAAAGAUAUCCAAAUCAAUUGAAUUUUUGUUAGAAAAUUCUUUAAACUAUUUAAAACAAGAUCUAUACUCUUGAUCUUGAUUACAAGACUCCUAUCAUCAUUUUUUAAAGAAUAUUCAUUUUCAACCAUUCAUUUUCUGUUCACUAGAUGGAUAAAAGAACAAUGUCGAAAGUGCGUGAAAUUUAAUUUCUCGAUAGUUUAAAUGGUUUAGAUCAUAUUUAACGGAGCCGAUCGUCAAUUUGGAAGCUCUAUCAUCGAAAACAACUCGAUAGUAAAACGCUCCGUUUACUAUCGAGAGUAUUCUAGCUCAACUCUAUAUAUAUAUAUAUAUAUAUAUAUAUAUAUAGAUAUAUAUAUAUGCUCACUCAUGAUUAAAUAUUAAAAUAAUCUUUUGAAUAUUUAGACAGUACUGGUUUAUGCCGCUUCGUUAAUUAGGUGCUAGGUGAUCUUUUCUUUUCUUUUCUUAUCUUUUUUUUGAGAAAAAUCUCUUUAUGAAUUACCAAGAUAUAUAAUUGUGCCAAAAUAUUAGUCGAUUUUGUAUUGCACUAAAGUGACGUACAAGGGUUCAAUUACACCAAUCUCCUAAGGCUCUAUUCGAAAGUGGGUUAUUCGGUAUAAAUAUUUUCUUAUGUGAUUGUAAGAAAGAAAUUUAAUUUCUGCUCCUUGAAAGAUUUUAAUAUCUAUGAUUUGGUAGGAUAACGUAUUUCACUUAUGAGAUAUUUAUCUUAUCCGAAAAAAUAAUUUAAAGGCUGAAUAUAAUAUUUAAUUUUAGACAUUUGAUCAUGCUCCUUAUCUACCAAACAUACAAACUUUUUAAAUAAAUUAUGAAGAUAUACUAAAUAAGAUAUUCGUACAUCCAAAUAAUGCCUAACUGUAUGAAUCUCGCCAAUAGUCCUAUUUACUUCUAAGUAAUAUUAGUAGGCAUAGUAGUACUAUGGGCAUGUUUUAUUUCGGGAUAAAGAGCGAGCAAUUAACUAAAGUUAUCCCCUACUAUUCCAUCACACCUUUUAAAGGAAAAAGAAAAAAAACUGAAUAGUUAUUCUGAUUAAACCAUGGUAUUCUAAAUAAUCCAAAAAUAAUCUCAAAAUAAAUUCUCCACAUUUCCAAUGGUAUAGGGCUAUUCUUAAUUAUGAUCGUCUUAGAUUAUUUCGGACAAUUCAAGUAAGAAAAAUGUAUGCCUAUAUCGUAUAUUACAUAUAUAUUUAAGUAUAUUAAUUAUAGAGAUAAUUUAAUGAAUGUUCCGUUACUAUAAUAUCGUUAUACUCUCCUAAAUUUAAUAUUAUUAUAGUGUCCGGCUACUAUGCUAUCGGUAGCACGGAGCGCUUCGUACUAUCAAGUUGUUUUUGAUGAUACGGCUUCCAAAUCGACGGUCGGCUCCGUUAGACUGAUCUACACUAUUGAAAGUAUUUGAAAACUAAAUUUUCGAUUUUUUCGACAUUAUUUGACUAGUGAUCAAAAGAUCUCAAAAUUGACAAUUUUAAUGGUCGAUGUGGUAUGUUUGUGAGUUUAACGGUGUAAAACAAUCCAAAUGCUAUGAAAAUUUUAUAGAAAAUUCUUUCCACUAUUUAGAGUAAGAUCAGUAUAUCUGAUCUUGAAUUUAAAUCUUUUAUCAUCGUUUUUCAUGAGAUUUUUAUUUUUAGCCGUUCAAUUGUAGACUACUUGAUUGAUAGGUAAAUGAUAUCGAAAAAUUAUGAAAUUUAGUUUCUAAAUACUUUCAAUAGUGUAGAUCAAGUCUAACUGAGCCGAUUGUCGAUUUGGAAGCCGCAUCAUCGAAAACAACUUGGUAGCACGGAGCGCCGUGCUACCGAUAGUAUAGCAGCCUAGUUCUAUUAUUAUAUAUUCCUAUUAAAUGGUCAUGAAUAUCAUGAAUAUUUUCCUAAUAGUUAGUCUCUAUCCAAAAAUACCCUUCAUAAUUUUAAAAUGCCAAGUUUACUCUUUAUCCAUUAUUUAUUUAUGCUCCUUAAAUUUUCUAUCUGUUGAUAUUCAAAACGUUUCAAAAUUACUCUCAAAAUUUUUUGCCGAUAAUUUUCACCAUCAUGUAUAAAUCACACCGAUAAUUUAAAUUUGAAUAUAAAAUUUAAAUUUAAAAUUCAAGAUCUAAGUUUAAAUUUUGAAUUUGAAUUUAAAAUUUCAAGUCUAUUGUGAAUAUAAAUUCUAAUUUGAAAUUCAAAUUCAAAAUAUGUUCAUAUUUUGAAUCUGAAUUUCAAACGGAAAGUUUGAAAUUAAAUCUAAAACUAAUUCAAAAUCUAGAUUUGGAAGUAAAAUUAAGGACACAAUCUCUAUUUGAAUUCAAAAUUGAAAUUGAAUUUAAAUUCAAAUCUAGAAUUAUAAUUUAAAUUUAAAAUUUGAAAAAAUUAGGUUUAAAAUUGAAAUUCAAUUCAAAUCUAGAUUUUCACUUUAGAGAAUCUAAGAUUAAAAUUUAAACUAAAGUUUGAAUUAAAAAACUAACUAUAACUUUUGAGACUAUUUAAGGAUAAAAUUUAUAUUUUAAAACUUAAUUAGCAUUAAUUAAAUUAGUCUCAAACUAAGGUUAGGGUAACACUCCAUAGUGUGAGAUAAUGAGGGACGAUUAUAUUGGAAGGUUAUAUGUGAUAUUGUAACACCGUGUGAUGUAAUGUAUACUAUAACAAAUUGUAUUAUAAUAAAAAGAACAAUAAUCUAAUUAUCAUUAUCAUUACUACUGCUACCACACACCACCACCAUUGUAUUAUUAUUACAUGAUUCUACAAAAAAAAAAUAGCAUUUAUGUUGUAAGAUAUAAUGAUAUGUUACAAUUUAUCUUCAACUGUUUACUAACUACAUAUAUAUUUUUCUAUUAGCCCCCACUAUCCUGGAGGUAAAUACUAAAUACAAUUUAAUUAUACGUAGGAAUAAAUAAAAUUGAAAUACACAUAAUUUUACACGUAUUUCUAUCUAUUAUCGUAGAAUAAUUAAGUUUCUCAAAUAACAAUAUUUCUUAGGAAAUUGUCUUAAAACCAAACAUAGUCUAUAGGAAUAAUGUGAACUGUGAAUAAGAAUCUUAAGGAUCUAUAUAUGGAACCAUUCUUACACAUAUAUUCCUCAAAAUUUAAUAUUAAUUUUAUUGCUAAACUGCUAUUUUUGUAAGUUAAUUACUACUAGAUCUACAAUCCAAACUGGAUUGCAAUAGUACAGUACCCUUAUUUAAAGAUCAAAUUAAUUUUCUCUACUAACCCUAGCCCCUGUGUGGAUCAUUGUUCUCUUCAUUGGGAUUUUAGACAGUGAAAAUGAAUUUCCUUUCUUUCGCAAUUCGCAUCGCAUAGAAAUUAAGCAGUAGGAAACUCAUUUUACACUGAUUAAUUAGCCUCGCGGCCCGUGAAAUUUCUCUAUAUAUGGGUUUACGUAGUGGAGUUUUUUUUUUUUUUUUUUUUUUUUUUUGAGAGAUAGGUACGUAGCACGCUACCCGCUUCGUUUAUUUCAUUUAGAAAUAAACUUAGCUAGAAAUGUGAAUCAACUAGAAUUCGAAGUUGGGUCUCGGAUACCAACCACUAAACUCUUUGCCACUUGCUCUAUAUAUGGGUUUACGUAGUGGAGUUAAUUUGAUGAACUAUUUAUUAAUGUGCUGUACAUGGUACAAAAUUAGUUGCAAUCAAUUCUGGUACCAUAUACAACAAAUUAAAAGUUACCUACCUCUUUUAACGAUUGUUGACAAGUUACUUAAUUAGCGUCUUCGAGUCCAGUGAGGAACUUAAAACUAAUUAUAAGAAUGAGUAAACUUUAAGGAAACUAAUUUUUCAUCGUUUACUUGUUUGUAUAACCUAUAUAUAUACAUAGAAUUGCCCAAACUAUAGAAUAACUAAUUAAUUGCUUAGAAGCUAGCUAGCUAUAUGUUGACGAUCUCUUCACCUAACCGAAUAGUAGUGUAGACCCAAAAUAUGUGAUUAAUUUUACGUACAUAAGCAAACUGAAGAGUGUGGGCAUGAAAGAAGACCGGAAGAAACUAAAUAUUACUACGCAAGGUGAUCGAUCGGGGAGAGCUAUAGCUAGCUAGGUGUGAAACUGCAGGGUGGGUUUAUCAUGAAUUUGCAAUUAAUUAAAUCUUGAGCAAUGCUCAUAUAUAUUCUAAGCACACGUACAAGAAAAAAAAAAAGAAAAGGAGAAGAAAUAAAAAAAAAAAAGAGCAAACGUACGGUAGGAGUAAAAUCUUAAAUCUUACUUAUUUAAGGGCCGGGUCAAUAUUUUUUCACUAGUUUUAUUAUCAUUUUUUAAAUAUUAUAAAUUUAAAAUGCGUGUCCUAGUUAAUUUUUAUGUGGACGAGCGCAUAAACUUAAUGGUGCUCUCCUUCCUUUGGGAUGUACGUAUAAUAUUUCUCUUAAAUUUUAGACCUCUAGCUUUGUAGCUAGCAGGCUGUUGAAAAAAAAAAAAAGAAAAAAAAAAAGAGGUUAGAGAAAAACCCCACCCACAGCUAGCCCACAUAGGUAGAUAAAUUAAAACAGAAACAAUGGUAAUUAAUGAGGGAGGUGAAAAGCAAGGGACUUGCUAAAAAAUUGGCCCAACAUAUGGUAAUGAGUAGUAUUAUUAAUUAGUACAUCCACUUCUACGGAGCCCGUUAAAUUGAGCAAGUACGGCUGAAUUCUGACGCUCAAGGUGAAAAUGGUUGUACAUUUAUCUAUUAAUAUUAACGCAUCUCUCACCGUCAAAACCUUUUCUGUCAAUAAUACAAUAGAUAUAGUUAGUUCCUGUUUUAUACAUAUAUAUAUAUAUAUGGAUCAGUACCUAAUCUAUAGGCUUAUACUAAUUUUAGGGUAUGUUCCGUUCGCCCUUCUUUCAUUCUGGAAUCGGAACGAACAAAUUCGUUUGUCCGUGUUUAGUAUGCGAAAUUUUCAUUCCGAUUUUGAUUUUCGGAUGAAUGAAAAUCUCCCAAAUUACCCUUUUUUUAAUCCGGUCUAGAAGGCCGGAUUGAAAAUUGAAUCGUGGCGGAAUGAAUUUGUUAGGAUUAAAUUUACCCUUUUUAAACUUAUUUUUUUAAUUAAAACAUACAUAAUUUUAAGUUUAAAAUUUAUAUUUACAAAUUUUAAUUUUAACUUAAAUUAAAAAUUAAAAUUCAAUCAACCAUUUCGAAUUUAAUUUAUAAAAUUUAAUUUGAAUCCUAAAGUUUUAUUCAAUUUUUAUUCAAAAUUUAAAUUAAAUUCAUGGAUUCAAAUUGAAAUUUAAAUUAUAAUGUUAAGUUUGAAUUUGAAUAUUUCAAAAUUUAGUUUUAUAUUUUGAAUUCUCCGUUCAGUUUUCAAUUUUAAUUUUUUAAAAAAAAUAUAUUUAAAAUUUUGACAUCAUUUUAAAAUUUUUACAUAAAAUUUUAAUACUUAAUUUUCAGUUUGAAUUUACACUGAUAUAUUAUAAAAAUAAAAUUGAUAUAUUAAUUUAAUUAUGUUUCUGAUAUCUAUCCGAAUCAAGCACCAGCAAUGAUUUAUUCCGAUUCCGAUUCAGACGGCGAUCCAAACAGAAUGAGAUAGUGACUCAUUCCGAUUCCGUCUCCAGCUUAUUUUCCCUCCGACUUCGAUACCGAUUCCGACUUCGAACCAAAUACACCCUUAGAGAAAGAAGUCUAUGUACCGGAGUCAAAUUCACAACUACUGCAGUGGAAAGAUUAGAUUGCCGGCACUAUAGUAAUAUUAAAUAAAAAUAGUAGAUUAAUGGUAUUUUUGUAAUAGUAAAUAAAAAUAGCAGAUAAUAGCUAGGAGUAAACAAAAAAUAUUGUUGUUGUUAAUAAGGGAGGCAAAAGACAACCCAAGUUAAUUAGUUGGCCCAUGCACCAAUCCGAAAGAUAAUCAGAUCUAGACAAACAUGCAUUUUGUCUGAAAAAUUGGGUUCUCAUAAUUCACUUUGUACUGAUUAAAAUUCUCUGUUUGGAUUCGGAUAUAAAAAUUCAGACAAACUGGGCCAAUGGUCCGAGUUUGGACUAACAGCUUAAAUAAUAAACUACCUUGAAUUAUAUUAAACUACUGCUUAGUUAUUUCAAGAGAUAUAUGAAUUAAGUAUCUCUAAGAUUAUAAUAUUAAUUAAAUCUAGCUACUACAAUCCUUAAUUUGUAUUUUUUUUUUCUUUUGCAUGUGAAAUGAUUUUAAUCAAAUAAAAAUCGUUAAAAAAAUUAAAUUAAAUUUUUUCCUAAUUCAAUUUGAGAAUUAUCUAAUAAAAGAUAUAAAUAUCGAUCGAGUUGCUGAUCUUUAUGGCGUUGUUUGACUUUAUUUAGAUUUGAAACUAUUUGACUUCAUUGUGGUAUAAGUAAAUAUGAGAAUUUGUGGUUUAUUAAUUUCUAAUUUUAAAAAAAAAAUUGUCAAAAUGGGCGCAAAAUUAGAAAAAAAAAAAUUACAAUAUAAUUUUAUUUGAUUUUUUUUUCAAAAAAUCAAUUUAUAAUAAUUUCAAUUCUAAUGAAAUAAAAUAAAUAUAUAAACUUUAAAUCAAAAUUAUAAAAGCAUUUAAAGUACGUACAAAAGUAUUUUUAAAAUGCAAAAUAUCGGGUUAUUAUUGAAAAAAAAAAAGAAGUGACAGAACUAUAAAAUAAUUCACUCUUCUAUAUACAGUAUAGAUAUUAUUAUUAUUAUUAUUAUUAUUAUAGAUACUAAUAAUAAUAGGUAUCGAUGGAUGGAUGGAUGGAUAGAUGGAUGGAUAUACGUACGUGGCAUGCAUAUAUACAAGUGGGUCCAGAUCCGGUUUUAAACUGGGUCUGAUCAUUAAUUUGAAUAUAUAUAUAUAUAUAUAUAUAGUGUAUAUAGUGUAUGCGCUAGCUAGCUGUGUGAAAAUUUUUUAUUAUCCCUAGCUAGCUAGUAAUUAUCGGACCCCGGCCGGCUUGAUGGGUACGUGGGUCGGUAGGUGAAUUUUUAUUCUUGCACACAAAUUAAUUUUAAGUGUUGAGGUGCCGCGCGGCCAUUAAUUAGCGACGAAUCAUUAAUCCACGAGUGUCGUAAUCAAUGAACAGCAUGCAUGUAGCUAGCUAGGCACGAGCAUAAUUAAUUUGGAGGGUGGAGAUAGUUAUGUAUGCUGCCUACCUGGAUGUGAUGAAUUUGAUUUAUGACAGCUAAGUUCGUUAGGACGGUGGUGGAUCCGCUCGCGAGUAAUUGCACGCGAAUUAACACCUCCCACGACCCAUUUUUUCACCGAAUCGGCCGUUUCGAUCGCGUGCGUCCAUCGAAAACCUAAUUUCUUUCUGAUUCUAUUAAUUGUUCAUAUAUAAGAGACAUCUAUCUUUAUACAAGGGAGAGAUCGGAUAAUUAAUUCGGUACAUGGUAUAUAUAUACAUGGAGACAUCUCUAUAUAGUAUACAAUUAUUAUACGACGAAAUUUCUUUUCUCCGAUCGAUAAUAGUGAAGAUGUAAAUGAAAAUAUUUAUUUAUAUAUGUUGACGCUCCCGCAAACUCAAGACGGGUCAAGCACCACAAGAGUUUGGGCAAAAAGUACUAAUUUCUUUGAAUAGUGUAAGAUUUGGACAAAUGUACUGAGAUUUGGUGAAAAAAUCGGUAAGCUGUUGAACGGACGAAGCAAAUGGUAAUGCUAUCGUGCCAUUAGUAUAAUAACGGCGAAUGAAAUUGCGACUCAUUUUGAUAUGGUUGGUGGGUUCGUGAAAGACAUGUUAUCCGCAAUUUUAAUCGCACUUUGAUUAUCACAAUAUGGUUGUGUUGGAGCAGAGUAGAGGGCACCGAGGUCAUCAAAGAACUAUCCAAGCCAUAUAAUUUCAGAGGUUGCAGAGGGUGCCAGGUGCAAGGAGAACUAAUGACCAGAUACUAGCACGAUGAAGGGCAACAAGUUCCGUAGUCAUCGCAUCCCGCCAUUCAAUAAUGGAAGCGGUAUACGAUACAUUUGUGGUUCCCAGAUAUCAGAAAUAGCUGCAAGAAAUUAAUGUAUGAUAAUACAAAAAAAUGCAGGUAGAGUCAAUAGAACCGACAAAUUAUUUUGGACGACGAGUUCUCGAUACACAAUGGUGGUCGGAUCAUCCGAUGAGGCGAUACUUGUUGGGUCCUCAUGUGGUCCUCAUGUGGUGGUGCUUGUACAACAAGAAAAUCUAUAGAGAAUAGAGCCGGUAAAGGUGAGAAGAAGUAGCAGUUGAGGAAUCAGUUGGUUAGGAUUCUUCGGGAGAAGAAAUAGUGGCUGAUGAAAUGUUGAAGCGAAAAAAGAUCAACUAUAAGCAUUGAAAUGGAAAUGACGUCAGCACUCAAACUAGAUUGAACAUAAUUGGGUAAAUGUUCGAGAAAAGAAUGAUAUCUUGAGAAAUAUGCAUGUGACGAGCAAUAGGAUCAUAACAUCGUUGUGUUCAAGAUAUAGCCUAAGAAAACACGAAUAUAUAAUUUCAGGGAGAGUUUGGUCAUUCAUGUCAGGGUGGGAGAACAAAACAAGUGUACACACACACACGCGUGCGCACACACACACACACCCCGGGGGAUAUGGCAGAUAAGAGACUACAAGGCAUGAUAUAAACUAGACACAUAUGUAGAGAAAGCAUCAACCCAAAAAUGUUAAGGCGUAGACCCAUCUAUAAGAUGAGAGUAAGCAGUUUUAAAGAUGUCUCAUAUCAGUGCUUACGCUCAGCAAUGUCAUUUUGUUGAUGCACAUACAUGAAAGUUGUGGCAAAGUAUCAUGUUUAGCAAGGAGUAGAGGAAACUCAUUCGAAAAUACUCAUGCAUGCUGAUCUCUCCAUUUUUUUUUUGGUUAACGUCGAACCAAGUGGGCCCAAAGAUAACAAUAACAACAUCGAAUGCUCCACUUGUCUUGUCUAGCACUAUAACUUCUAAAAGAAUUGGAAGGUAUAGAUGAGAAGAAGUAGACACUAAUGCAGGUAGAGAAGUUGUAGGAUCACGAGCAGCGAGGACAAUAAGCAUCGCAGAAAUAGAGGAACUUAGAACUUGAAGGCAUGUCUCUGCAGCAAUUAGUUUCGCCAGAGCUGCAUCAAUGGUGAGGAAUGGAGUUCGAUGGAGAAGUUGACCACGCAAGGCUUCAAACUUAGGUAGCAAGUGCAUAAGGAACUAGAAUAAACAUUGUUGAUUGUGCACUUGCUUUUGCUUGAAAGCACACUGACAAGCUGAGCAAGUGCGGCAUAAGGGUAUCCAUAGUUGCUAUUUGAUGCCAAAGUGCCUGCAUAAAGUCAUAGAAAAUCGAAAUUAUGCGCUCCUCUUGAUGAGCUGUGGAGAUUGUGUCAUGCCUUGAGUCCGACCAAUUGGACCCGCUUGGACAUGUACAAUAGAUCCACUGGACAAGACAAGUUUUCCCCUACCCAUACGAAGCAGAAACAUACAGCAACCUGUACAAUGCCAUAUAUGAAAUAGUUAUAAUAGAGCAUUAGCGUAAUAUUUCUAAAUUAAAACCACUGCAAACGUACUCAUUUAAAGUUUACCAAACUUAAUACAUUCCAAAAUAUUACAAUUUUAUUGUUCAUAUAAAAAGGUACAAUCUAAACCACGUACUCACAUGGUCUAACUACUCCACAACGCCCUUACUAUGGUCCCGCACCUCAAAGAUAAUAAUAGGAUCUGAAAAUAGGUAAACAACAAUGGAAUAAGAACUUGGAAUGAGUUCUGAAUAGGUGCAACCACUGAAAGUGGUAUUCUAUACUCACCAAGUUCCAAACGGGCGUUAGUAAUAAGUAAUAAUAAACAACAUCUAUUACCACAAUAGAAAAGUAAAUAAGUAAGAUAUAUCUAUAAUGCCUCUCUAUAUAUAUAAUAUGCAAAAAUGGUUUGCUAUGUUAUUUACUACACAUUCACCUCAUUUUAUUUUCUUAAUUUUAACAAACUUGUUCAUUUGGUUUACUUUUCAAUCUCAGUACACACCUUAUGGAGAGUCAAGGAUGAUCGAACUUCUCUCCAAUCGGUAGGCACUUGGGAUUGAAGGAGAUCAGAUUUUCUCUAGUAUGGCAUCGGGAGUUGAGAGGAUUAGACUUCUCCCUUUAUGACACUUCCGAAAAUCGCAACAUGUUUCAUUGUUACACCUUAAGUUCGUGACUUCUAGGGUUGUCAUAAGGUUUAUUUCCAUAUUGUUUUAUUUUCUAGUUCUAGUUUUGCCUAGAGAUACCACUAUAUUCACAUCUUAGGUUUCAAAAUAGGUUAAACGCCACACUUGUUUUCAACAUUUUAUGGUUCACAUAAUACUCACAUGUACAUCUCAAGUAUUUUCUUGUAGUAUAAUAAAGGGAUAAAAUCCUAUUUUCCUAGGCCAAAUGGCAAUAUACAAUUUUGACUCUCUAGAUCCCCUAGCAUGCAACUAAAAUAUAUUUCAGCUUAUAUAAAACUCAUAAAAUAUGCAUGCAACAAAAAAAUAAUUUAGACAAAGAGGAAACUAAAUCUAUUUUGAUUAUAUUCUUUACCUUUUCUUAGAUCUUCUCUAAGAGAUGCUCUUGAUCUUUUUAGAAUACCAAGAAAAUCUUAAAAAUUAAUUCUAACCAAGUUAGAAUCUAAAAAUUCUAUGUUUAGGAAAAUUCCCAAAAUAAACCAGAAGAUUCCAACUUACCUCUUCUCUUCCUGGUAUAAGAAAUGCGGGUGAAAUGGACUUCUUCUCCCUCCAAGAGCGUUCUCUUGAUGAAUUUGACCUUCUCCAAGCUUUCAAGGAAAUAGAUCUUUAAGUUUCAACAAUAGAGAUUUUAGGGCUCUUUUACUGUAAAGAAAGAGAGAAGAGGAUAGUGAGAGAGGAAGAAAUAUAAGAGAAAUUAGGGCUAACUAAUUAAAAGGAUACUCAUAGACGUGCUAUAAUAGCACAUAAACCCGCCGACAAUCCAAAUUUAUAAAGCCAUAAACCUCGACCUUUUAACUAGGAUUCGGGCACCCACUUGUCCGGACUUUCAGGUGCCGGUCCAAACUUUUAGGAGCCCAAAAGCCUCGUAGCUCCCUUUGGUCAAUUGUCUAGAUGCCCGGCCAAUCCGCCCUAUCCAUAAUACGGGUGCCCAAAAUGGACAUCAGGUGUCCAAUUAUUUAAUCCAUCACACAUGCGCUCUCAGGUUGAACAUCCAAAAGACAUUCGGAUGCCCGCGAGGGACUGCUUGAAAGAUUUUUCGAGCGCCAGAUUUUGGUCAACCGAAUAUUCAAUCCUUCACCUCCCAAGUUCUCGGGUUGGGAGUCCGAAAGAGGGUCUGGAUCCUCUUAAGUAGGAUUUGAAAGGUUAAUUUGCAGGCACCUAUGGGGCCAUUCGGGCACUCUAAAGUCAUCCUUCAAGUGAGUCCCACUGUCCGAAAUGGUUUCGGGUGCUUGGGAUCCUGUUUCGAGCGCUUGGGAUCCUAUUUCGGGCAUCCGAGAAGUUUGAUACUUCAGUUUUCACUUCUUUGAAAAUCAAUUUCAAUAUAAAUUAGUUUAUAUUCGGUCCAAAUUCAAACUACACUCCUUCAAACCCAUUUUAAUUGUGUCUAGCAUGACUUAAUCCGUACUUUGUUAAUUUAGCCAAAAUUCAGUAUGUUACAGAUUUUCUAUACUUAGAAAAUAACCAUAACUAUACUAUCUAUAUAUUUGUCUCUAUAUAUCGAUCAAAGAUAGACCACAUCUGGUAAAUGGUGGAUAGGCUGAUUAAUUGCAUACAAAUGUCGAUAUCCACUUGUAUAAAUAAGCCCAUGUGCCCGUCAAUCAGCAGCAAAUCAGGCUUUAGUUUUGUUUCAUCAACUGUUAGAUUGGUACCAUCAAUAUGACUGGUAAGAUCAAGAGUAUUCAAAUAAUAAUUGAAUACACAUCGACCAUUCAUAAUAGUUGGGCACGAUGAGCUUAAUAUCAAUUUGCACAAUAGUAGGUUAGAGGUGAGAGAACUAUUUUUCUUUACAGGUCUAAGCUAUUAGAGAAUGAUCCUUUAACUAUUAUGUGCUCAAAACAUUUUGGCAUCUAAUGGCAGAUUUUGGCUAAAAGCCAAAUAUGCAAAUUGCUAAAACUAAAUUAAAGAUUAGUAUCAAAAGAUUUUGGCAGAAAAUUAGUCUCAAAAGAUUCGGAGUCAAGACCUUAUGCUUUGAUAUCAUUUAGGACAUUGUUUUCACUUCCAUAUAUACUCAAUAGGGAUUAUCUUAAAUUCUGUUGAAUUCGCAGGUCCAUUCCAAUUUAUGAUGUGAUCCAAAAUUUUAGCAGUAAAAUUAAAAAUUUCACUACUAGAAAAUUAGUCAUUAGUGACAUUUAUUUACGCUGCUAAAAGAUCAACGAAUGCCACUAAAAAUUUUAGCAGCAUAUGACACUAACUGUUGCAUAUGCCAAUGUUGCUAAAAGUAUUAGCAGUAUUUAUAAUGAAUGCUGCCAAUGUAAAUCAAUUAGUGUUAUUAGGAACAUGCCUCUAAUAUAAAUCAAUUAGUGUCAUUCGGAACAUGCCGCUAAAAGGGAUUAAAUGCUAAUUUUAACUUAUUUAUUAGUGGGACAUAAAUUAAUAUAACGCCACAAAUACAAAUAUCUGAUUUUAGGGACUCAAGUUUUAAAAUUUUAAUUUUACCCGCUUCAGCUGGAAAUGUGAAUCAACUAGGAUUCAAACUUGAGACCUCAGUUACCAACCAUCAAGCACUUUGUCACUUACGCUAGGAACUCUCAGUUAUAUAUAUUUAAUUUUUUUUAAAUUUUAAGCCUUCAAUUUUAAAAUUUUAAAAUUUUAAAUUCUAAAUUCUAAAUUUAGAUACUAAAUUUAAAUUUUUAAUUUUCAAAUAUUAAAUUUUAAGUUUCAAAAUUUACAAUUUUAAAUGUGAAAUUUUAAAUUUAAAAAAAAUGUAUAAAUUUAAAAAUUAAAAAUUAAAAAUUUAAAUUUUAGAAUUUAAAAUAGAAAAUAUAAAAUCUUAAAAUUCAAAUGUUAAAUUAUAAGUUUAAUUUUAAAAAUUAUAAGUUUCAAAUAUUUAAACUUUAAUUUCAAAACUUUUAAUUCUAAGUAAAAAUAGGAUAUAUUAAUAAUUAUAUAUUGAUUAGUAACGAUAUUUAGUAAUAAGUACUGCUACUUUAUUACAUUUAGUGGCGUUCAUUAAUUUACGCUGCUAAUUUAUCCUAUUUUGUAACAUUAAUAAUAAAUUACUGCUAAAUUAUUAAAUCUAGCGGCAAUUAUUAAAUAAUGCUGUUAAAUAUAUUAAUUAGCUUAAUUUAAAUAAAUAUUGUGAAGUAAGUGUUGCAGCAUUUAGCAAUAAGUGCUGCUAUUUUGUUACAUUUAGUGUUAUUUUUUAUAAAAUGUUGGAAACUUCAGCGGCAUUCACUAAUUUAUCAAGUACGAAUAAUUGUAAAUUGCUACUAAUUGUAACUUCAGCGGCAUUCAAUAAGUGCUGGUAAUUUAUCCUAUUUGUAACAUUAAUUGUAAAUUGCUGCUAAAUUAUUAAAUCUAGCGGCAAUUAUCAAGUAAUACUGUUAAAUAUAUUAAUUAGCAUGAUUUAAAUAAAUGUUGUGGAGUAAAUGUCACUAAAUCAUGAAUUUGUUAUAGAAUUUUAUGAAACUCCAUGGUAGUAGCACUAGAAGCCCACUACUUGCUUUGUGAGUGCAAGGGCAGCGCUCCUGCAAAUUGGAAUAGUUAAGUCGGGGCCAAAGUUUUUCUAACCCCUAAACUUUUGAUCUACCAAUUUAGUUAAACUUAGACUAGUAUCGUUAAUUCUUUAGAGAUUUAACCGCUUACAUAUGUUGAUAGACCUUACUCCGUGGAUUUGUGGUAUCAUAGAGAGCAUGACAUCUAUUUUGCAGGUUAGGAUAUUUUGAGAGACGUAUGUUUUGUACUCAGCUUUCGAUUAUAAAAAGUUUUGCUUCAUCUUUGUUCAUGGAUUCAGGUCAGUGGUCAAACAAGAUUAUUUUCUUGUGAUUUUUUUUUCUUCUCUAUUUUUUGAUUCUCCGUUUUCUUUUAUCUGAUUUUUAGUCUUUGUUGUUACGAGAUACUUACCUCCCAAAUGUCUCACCUUGAAGCUGUGAAUGCCACUAUAUAGUUAGUACAUAUAGACGAAUAUAUAAGCAACGAGUUGAUUUAGGUAAAUAAUUAUUUAGCCACCACUCCAUCCUUCUUCUUUUCACUUAAUUGGAAUUGCCUUUUAUACUCAAAUUUUGGCAUGUUACAUACUAAAUGUUGAAAACUGAUGUGGAUAAAAUUAAAUUGUCUUAGAACUUCGAAGUAGAAAUUUUUCUUCACAGUGUGGGCCAUUAUUUCAUAAAUUGGAAGAUAAAUUAUGUUUGGCAGUAUGUUUAGGAUAUGAAAUCAAGUCUGCAGGAAAACUUAAUUUAUGUAUGCUUCUAACGGAUGAUUCCAAACUUAAUUUAUGUAUGCUUCUAACGGAUGAUUCCUUACGUGAUGCAGGAUGAGGACUUUCCUAAUUGAGGGUUUCAUGUGCCACACUCAUAAUGCUGCAUGGCACACUCUACACAACAUUAUUUGUGGGAGUGCUAACAAGAUGGAGAAUUAUCUAGACAUUGUCAAGAAUCAGCUAAAGUGCAAUGUAACUAUAUUUCACGGCCGAAAAGAUGAGCUCCUCCCUGUUGAUUGUAGCUAUGCUGUCGGGUCGAAGAUCCCUAGGGCUCGUGUUAAGAUCUAUGAUGAGAAGGACCAUAUCACGGUUGUCGUUGGCCAAGAAAGGGUUUUCGCAAGAGAGCUUGAAGAGAUAUGGAAAAAUGCUAUGCAUUAAAUAAGGAGGAGGAAGAAAGAAUUUAAACCUAAAUGAAAUAACUUCCCUCUCAAUGCACAGCUCAAAGAAAUGUGAUGCAAACAAGUGAUGCAUGUUUGAGCAAAUAUAUAUAUAUCUUUUGUUUCUCUCUUUCGUUCUUUUUUAAAAAAAUUUCUUUCUAAAGUACUUAUGUUUUACCACUAUAUGUGGUUCUAUAUGGUACCCCUUAUUCAAGUGUGAAAUAUGUAAGAUAGAAAUAUUAUGGGGAAAGAUAUAGAUUUCUCUACUUUUCAUAUAUUCUUCUUAUGAACUAUGUAGUAUUGUUAGUUAAUAACUUCAUUAUUAAAUCAUCAAUCUUACUACAUCGAGAGGGCAACAAAUUAUAUAUCACUCCCCGAGGCUGUUUUGUAAAAUAUUUUCUUUGAAAACGAGUGAAAAACAUGCUUUUUCUGAACUAAAAAACUGCCCUGAACAAGCACUGAUUCGCCAUACGAACAAAAUCUUCCCUAUCCAAAUGGAUAGAGUUUUUUCUGUACGCAUGACAUAUAUAGAGACAUAAAGUACAACAUCCAACCAUCAAACACAAUAGUAGCAACAACAACGACAAUAGAGAGAUAACAACAUACUAAUAAAUGAUCGACUAUUAUGAUGAAUAAAUGACUACUGCAGCCUCCAAUCUUCACAUACAACAAGUCACCUCCUACAACCAAAAUCAAAUAACAAUAUAUACAGGCCAGAAGCAAGAAUUAAUAAUACUGAAAAGUGAAGAAAUACAGAUACUAAAACCGACUACAAGGAAGCCACCCAAACUACUAAGAAGAACAAAUCUACAAAUGCUAAAUAUACAAUAACUAAAUAAUUAGGAGUUUGAAACAAAAGGUAUAAUUACAACUCAAAGUUACUGCCAGAGGGACUCAUCUAUCUAAUAGUACCUCAUGCACAGGCGGAUAUGUCACCUCUAGUGUCACCUGUGGAAACUAGGGAAUGAAAAACAUGUACACAUAUUUUUCAGUGCGUACUGCAAGCCGUCGAAGGCAAGCUGUACUCACUAGUAAAUAAGAGAGAGAGAGCGAUAAGGUAAAUACGAUAGGUAUAAACAGGUAUAAUUGAUAUAGUAAAAGUAAAACAAGAAAGAAAUCAUGCGACUAAAUAUUUGAAAUAAUAGCACUAUUGUAAAAAGAUAAGCAGAUGUAUAUAUGCAUCAAGCAAAUGAAUACUUCAAUACUCAGUCCCAAUCCAAACAAAUAUUGUCAUGUUGGUCUAAAGACCUUAGGCAAUGCCACACCUAUGCUUAGUCACUAGGCAUAUAAUCCUUCACGCCCUAGGGUUCGGCUCAUGUCACGCCCCGGGGUCCCUUUUCAGUUUAAAACAAAGCGGAAAAGCGUCUGAAAUUUUUUUUUUUUUUGAAAACCUGACCCCAGAGUAUGCCAGAUCCGCCACAAAUACAGGGAAUCCACUGUUCACACGGACAGAGUCUCCCCUGUAUUUGCACGGCGUCGCACAAGUACAAGAAGUCACCCAAGCACAACCACAACAAAUGAACAUACAAAUAACCAACCGUUAUAUAUAUUCAUACGCCAUUCACCACAGAUUCACAUGUAUGCAUAAAUCCACACCUAUCAGUUAAAAUAUUUCCAACCACAGAAACAGGUUUUGAAAUACUAAGAUGCAAAAUCCACAGAAAGCUUUUUGAAAACUGUUUCCUACACGGAAACCUUUAUUCUUUAAAAAUGCUACCACGAGGGGUAGAAAAUAUUUUACUUUACAAAAUCCAGAAAUCCGUUUAUUACAUUCACGAAAAUCCAUAUUUUCAAAUGUAAUAAAAAAUACUGAACCAUAUAACUAUCUAAGCUAUAACAACUGAAAUAAUAAGGGUAAUAACUAUACCGAAAUAACCUGGGUCGGAAGCUCUAUCGACCGCUACACACGUACCUCACGUCUCGUCCCACUACUCAUCGCCCGCGAUACCUGAAAAAUGGUGGGGGAGGUGAGAACAUGUAAACAUGUCUCCCCUCCCAGUGGGUACCGCAAGCCGAAGAAGGCGAGGAGUACUCACCGGAUCAGGAAGAACUAUACAACAACAUGGGUCAGUGGAAAUAAACAAGGUAAUGAGCAGAUAUACAAUAGCGAUAAACUGAAAGGAAGUAAGAACUAUACUGAAUAAACGGCUACCGCUACUGUAACUGGAACAGAAAGCAUACAUGAAUAUCUACUAUAGUAGCAAGACAACUAUAAAGUAAGAUCUGUAAGUAUGCAUGCAACGACUGCUACUAUAAACAUAUGCGUCAAUGGGACAAUCAGUCCAAAAGUACCCAAUCUGAAACCAAUGCUCUCUUGGUCAGCACCGCAGACCUCAAGCCAAUGCCCUGGAGGUCCGCACCGCAACACCUCCCGACAGUACCACUGCCGCUCUAACAUGCAUAUAACCCCUCUAGGGCUCACGGGUUGUCACCAUUCAACCACUUUUCCGGAAAAGAACACUCCUUGCGGUGGAUCAGACCGCCAGUGUUCGUGAAAUGCGACGAGUAUCGGGCGAUCAAUGCAAUAUGGUCAAUGAUCAACCGUCGGCAACCAGCCGACAAUCCUGCCCCCCAGGGCCUAUCGACCGCAUAGGUCAUCAACUGUAAAGAAGCACAAGAACCGACCACUCAGGUCAACUAGGAUGGGACAACAUCGACAUCCUCUCAAACAUAUGCAAAUACUGACUAAUCAAGUCAACUGGGAUGGAACAACUCAACAUCCUACCCACAGUAUGUAGAUACUGAUCAAUGAGUCAACUACUGUAUAUAUGCAAGAAUCGGUCAACAAGUCAUCUGAGUAUAUGAUCUAGAACUACCGUCGGCCACUAGUCGACAAUCCUACCCCUCAGGGUACACCGACCUCAAAGGUCAUCAAACAACAAGAGUCAAGGAACAAACCGACUAUAUACAGAUAUAAGAUACAAGAACGAAUCAACUAGGUCACCGAUUUCACAUAAAAUCACGAAACCGCUCUACUCUAAACAUGAUACAGGAUAUGCAGAAUAGCUAAGUAGAGCAACAAAGAAAUAUGGUAUAACUACUCUACUCCUACUCAUGAUAUAAAGAGAACAACCGAGUAGAGUGUAACUGAACAACAUGGUGCUAGGCUCAACACUAUAUAUCAAGAUAUAUAUAUGCUAGAUAAUAACGAAAGAGCAAAGGUAAGAAACCAUCACCGAGCGUGCACCACUGUACCGACGUCGGAUCGAAGUACCCACCUGUACAACUGUCGCGCCUGUCUCCUGACUGCAAAAGAACGUCAACAGGACCUAUGGAGGGUCCACUGGGUUAGUGUCUAACCCACAACUAAGAAAUACUACAUCGUAAUCCCGCUAACAAACCCACGGAGAUCAGUUUCCCAAAACCGACUACCGUAACUCGCCGGAAGUCCCAAAAAUCGCACCGGGACUCCGUCGGGACCCACGAACUGUCCCGAAAUGUUCCAACUCAGGAUACGAGUCACCCGCUGACACAAAACACACCAAUUUGGAUGUCUUGGCAGAAAACACAAGUUAACACAACUACACAAUUAUCGCCGGAUAAUUGUACGAACUCGGGUUCCCGAAAGUGUCAAAUUCGACACCGGAACCCACCGUCGCUCACUCGUCAUUUCUGAACUCUCGAAAUGACGCAAGUGGCCAGAAAACAAGGCUCGGCGACUACACAAUAGCUCACGAAGCACCGUCGGAAUAAUUCCGAACCGAACCCGCGUUCUAUCGGCGGAUUUCGCCGAAAAACGCAUCGAAAAUCACUUUUCGAUUUUCGCAAGGGCUUGGGGCCUUGGACGAUCAGUCCAGAGGUUAUCCUUAGCCCAAACGUGCUGCCAACAGCAUCUACAUCGAAGCAAAAGUCCUAAAAGCCCAUACCGAUACAUGAAAUCGCAUCAUUUCAUGUGAUUUCUAGGCUUUUCUGGACCGUGCACGCAAACCAGAGGUCGAUUAAUCCGACCGUCGCACUCGCUGACAGGUUUCAUCAUGUCGGAGGCCGUGCUCACCUUUCGGAGCACUGCCGACCACUGCGGUGCGCGCACGAGCGACACGAAAUCUGUGAAACAGUGCGCACAGCGCGAAGGUCGCGACUAACUUGCUAACCAGGGCAUCUUUGCCGCUGUCGGAGGUGAGCACGAUGUUCAGCACGAACCCUAGAUCAUCGUGCUCACUUCUCGAGGUGUCGGGGAGUCAUCGGAUCACCAGAAAGGUGGCCGGAAAGCUUAAAUUGCAAUGCUGGAACUCAAAAACAGCAUACCGGAGCAGUGGGAGCUAGGGUUGGUCGCCGGCGGCCGGGAGGCGGGCACUCUGGCCGGGGAUGGGAGCAGCCGGUCCGAGAGGUCCGGGGAGGGUGCUGGCCGGCGGCGGGCGGCAACCGGUGGCGCGGCGGAGGAGAUCGACUCCGCCCAUUCCCUCUCGGGUUCGUGCUUCCCGGCGGCGCGGCGGCGGCCGGAGGAGGUCGGGGCGGCUACGGUGCGGCGCCGGAGGCCGAGGGGAAAGUGGUGUACCCCCCGGUGGGCGGCGGCGGCACUUGGAUGUCGAGCGGGCCCGACCUCGGCCCGCACAGGUCUGGGUAGCUGCAGGAGAUCUCAGCGGCGGCCGGCGGCGCGCGGGGACGGCGGGGGACGCGCGCGCCGGGUUGUCGGAGGUCGCCGGGGCCGACUGGAGGGCGGCACGGCCGAAGUAAGGCGAGGACGCAGAGUUCGAGCUGGCUCGGUCUGGGUUGACCCGAGUUGGCCGCAGGGAGCGGGGGUGGAUCCGGUGGCGCUCGGGGGUGGUCGGGGCCGACGAGGGAGGACGACGGAGAUGGACCUCGGCCAGAGGAUGAUGCUCCAAGGGUGAAAGAAGCUUCCUUCGCAGCUUCGGCGAAGUCGGAGGAGAGGGUGGCCGAGAGAGCAAGAGAAGAGGUCGGGGUGGCUUUUCCGGCGGCCGGGGCAGCUCGCCGGCGGCUGGGGCGUGCGCGCGGGUUGGGCAGGGAGAAGGUGGGGCGGCUAGGGCUCGGUUCGGCUGAGGAGAAAGCCAAAAGCUAGGGUUUCCUCACGAAACCCUAGUGCAACUACUAUUUACAUAUGUACAAUUGCAAGAUAGUCCUCCCAGGGAUAAUAUUCUCAGUCAAGUCCCUCACAGCAUGUGUAUUUUACACAUACGCACCUCCAUGUCCGAUCUCAAGCAAUUCGGCACAUAAAAUAUUAGAUCUUUUCGCGAUUUAACCGUUUUGCCAAUUUGACCUCUUAGCGAUAACUUUGCAAUUACCGGAGAUCCGUCCGUCGGAUUUUCGAUCCGACUGUGCCAUCGCGUUCAGUACAACGGGGGCAUCGAAACUACGAUUUCGUUUCAUCCAAUUUGGUCACGGAUUCGCGACGGAACCCAUCUGCUCUCUAAUUAAUCCAUAUAUCGUACGUAUACCAAUGUGUAAACCCAUUAAACCAACUUUCGUAUUAGAAAUUGACUUCCCUACCACUAGUAGGGACCCGAAACAUUCUUCACCCUACUCCAGGUCACAAGCACGGGGCACGAGAAGCUUUAGAAUGCACAGAAAAGCAAAGAGCGGAAACCCUCUUUUCGGUAAAACUCCUUUUUCUCGAAAAUCGUGCAUCAGAUCUGAAAUCCGUCAGUGCCAUUGGUUCCAGAACAGCUGAACCGAUCGAAACGAGCUAUUGGAUCGCUAUGAACGGAGUCCGAUAAGCGCCGAAAGCCAACUCUACUCCGUGGCUUCACCGAAAAACUGGAGUUACUAUUCACUUAAGUGAAAACUAAUAAUCACGUAACUUCUCCGUUCUAGCUCAUUUUCUCCUGAAACUUGACGAGUGCUUAUGUAAUUAAAUUACACACAUAAAUAUCGUCAACAGAGAGUUUAGUUGCACUGUAAAAAUCUCAAUCCUUACAGCUCAACGUGGGUUUGCCAAUAGAUCUGCCGCAUACACAAGAAGCCUUGUGUAUACGAAGCGAUAGUAGUACUUGUAAAGUAUAAAAGAACAACUAUAAGCAAGUAAUAGGAUUGUAAAAAACUGCUAAAACUAAAACAUGAUCCACUGUACAUACAUAAGAUCUAGGGAGUACAAUAAAGAAAUCCAAAAGUACAAACAUCAUCUCUCGCAAUUGUAAAAUAAUAUAUAUAUAUAUAUAUACGUAUAAUAUAUAUAUAGAACGUUCGGCUACUAUGCUUAUCGUAGCACGAGCGCUCCGUGCUACCAAGUUGUUUUCGAUGAUGCGGCUUUCUGAUCGACGAUCGGCUCCGUUAGACUUGAUCGAACACUAUUGAAAGUAUUUGAAACUAAAUUUCAAAUUUUUUCGACAUCAUUUGACUAGUGAUCAAAAGAUCUCAAAAUUGACAAUUUUAAUGGCCGAUGUGGGUGUGUUUGUGAGUUAACGGUGUAAAAAUAAUCCAAAUGCGAUGAAAAAUUUAUAUAAAAAUUCUUUUCACUAUUUAGAGUAAGAUCAGUAUAUCUUUUUUGAAUUAAUCUUUUUAUAUCAUUUUUCUAUGAGAUUUUUAUUUUCAGCCGUUCAAUUUUAGACCUACUUGUUUGAUAGGUAAAUAAUAUUCCGAAAACACACUUAUGAACACUUAUUUCUAAAUACUUUCCCACAUAGUAUAGAUUCAAGCUCAACCGGAGCCGAUCGGUCGACUUCUGGAAGUAGCAUCAUCGAAAACAACUUGGCAGCACGGAGCGCUCCGUACUAUCGAUAGUAUAGUAGCCUAGCUCAUAUAUAUAUAUAUAUAUGUAUGUAUGUAUAUAUGUAUAGCAUAGUACUAAUAUAAUAAUAUAGAUAUAUCUAUAUAUAUAUAUGUAUACAUAUAUACAUACAUAUAAUAUAGAUAUAUGUAUAUAUAUUAUAUAUGUAUUAUAUAUAUAUAUACAUAUAUAUAUUACUAUAUAGAUAUAUUAUAUAUGUAUAUAGAUAUAUUACAUAUAUGUAUAUAGAUAUAUCACAUAGAUAUAUAUAGAUAUAUAUAUAUAUAUACUAUAUAUAUAUAUAUACUGUAUAUAUAUAUAUAGUAUGUUAUAUGAUUAUAUCUAUAUCUAGAUUGUAGGAUAUACAUAUAUAUAUAUAUAUAUAUAGUAUAUACACAAUAUAACAUAUAUAUAUAUAUAUUACAUAUAACAUAUAUAUGUAUAUCUACAUACAUAUAUACUAUAUGUAUAUCUACAUAUAUAUAUAAUAGUAUAUAUAUUAUUGUAUAUCUAACAAUAUAGAUAUAUAUGUAUAUAUAUAUAUAUAUUAUAUAUAUAUAUACUGUAUGUAUAUAGUAUAUACUAUAGAAAUUUAAAUAUUCUGUAUAUUAUAUAUAUAUACAGGAUAUACAUAUAUAUAUAUAUAUGUAUGUAAUAUAUAGUAAUAUAUAGUAUAUCUAUAUAUAUAUAGGGUAGUUAUACCAGAUAUAUAUAACCUACCUAUAAUCAUGUAUAUAUAUAGGUAAUACAUAGGUAGGUUAAUACAUAUAUAAUAUAGUAGAAGGUGGUAUACAAUAUAUUAGGGGGGGGGUAGGUUAUAUAACCUACCUAUAUAUAUAUAUAUAUAUAUUAGUUUAGUAUUAAUAUUUAUAUAUAUAUAAUAUAUAUAUACUAUAUAUAUUUAUAUAAUUAUAUAUUAUAACCUACAAUCUAUGAUAUAUAUAUAACCUCCUAUAUAUGGUUAUAUAUAUAUAUAAUAUGUAUAUAAUAAUAUACCUAAUCUAUAUAUAUAUAUAACCGAGUUGGGCUGGGGUGCUUUCGGAAAGAAGCACGGAGCGCUUCCGUGCUUCCACUUUGUUUUCCGAUGUUCGGACUUUCGAAUCGACGAUCGGCUCCGUUAGAGUUGAUCUACGAGCUAUUUAAAGUACCAAGAAUUAAAUUUUGCGAAUUUUUCGAUAUCAUUUGCCUUAAGUGAUCCGAAGGGGCUUCAAAAUCAAUAAUUUUAACGGCCGUGGUGAGCCAGUUUGCAAGUUUAACGGUAUAGAAAUAUCCCAAAUCCACGGAAAAUUUUGAUAGAAUUCUUUAUUACCAUAUAAAACAAGAUCAAUACUUUUGUGAUCUAAAUUUUAAUGGUCGAUAUCAUCAUAUUUUGGUGAGAUUUUUAUUUUCAGCCGUUAUUUGAGCCACUUCGAUCACUAGGGCAAAUGAUAUCGAAAAAUCGCAAAAUUUAUUUUCUAGAUACUUCAAAUACCUAGAUCAAGUCAUAAACGGAGCCGAUCGUCGAUUUGAAAGUCCCAACAUCGGAAAACAAAGUGGAAGCACGAGCGCUCCGUGGCUUCUGAAAGCACCCCCAGACGCUACUCAUAUUAACUUACCUAUAUAUGUAUAUAGUAUAUAGGUAGGUUAUAUUAUAAUAUAUAUACAUAUAUAGGUAGGUUAGUAUAGUAUAUACUAUAUAGGAGUUAUAUAUUAUAUAUAUAGUAGGUAGGUUAUACAUAUAUAUAUAGUUAGGUAGGUUAUAUUAUAUAUAAUAUAAGAUAUAUAUAUAGGUAGUUAGGUAGAUGUAUAUAUAGUAUAUAUAUGAACUAUAUAUAUAUAACUAUAUUAUAUAUAUAUAGGUUAAGUUAUGUAUAUAUAUAUUAUAUAUAUAUUAUAUAUAUAUAUAUAUAUAUAUAGUAUAUAUAUAGUUAGUAGUAUAUAUGUAUAUAUAUAUAGGGUAGGUAGAUGUAUGUAUAUAGGUAGGUUAUAUAUAUAGUAUAUAUAUAUAUAUAUAUAUAUAUAUAUAUAUAUAUAUAUAUAUAGAUAUAUAUAUAUAUACAUAUAUUAUAAUAUAUAUAUGUAUAUACAUAGUAUAUAUAUAUCUAGUAUAUAUAUAUAAUAUAUAUAUAUAUAUAUAUAUAUAUAUAGUAUAUACUAUAAUAUAUAUAUACAUAUAAUAUAAUAUAUCUAUAUUAUAUAUAGUAUAUAUAAUAGUAGGUAGGUUAUAUACCUGAUAUAUUUAUAACCAACAUAUAUAUUAUAGGUUGUUAUACAUAUAUAUAUAUAGUCAUAACCUACUAUAUAUAGUAGUUUAUAUACUAUAUAGGUAGAUUAUACAUAUAUAUAUAUAGGGGUAGUUAUAUAUAUAUAUAGAGAGUAGUUAUACAGAGUAUAUAGGUAGGUUAUAACCUACCUAUAUAUGUAUAUAUUAUUAUAACCGUACAUCGUAUGUAUAUUAUAACCCACCUAUAUAUGUUAUAUAUAUAUAUGUAUAUUGUAGGUAACUACGUAUAUAUAUAUAUAGCUAUAUAUAUAUAUAUAGUAUAUAUAUAUUAAGUAUACAUAUAGUAUAUAUAUAUAUAACUACAGUCGUAUAAUUAUAUAACCUACCGUAUAGUAUGUAUAGUAUAUAUAGGUAAUACAGAUAAGUAUAUAUAUAUAUAUAUAUAUAUAUAGUAUAUUAGUAUAUAUAUAUAUAUAGGAUUAUAUAGUAGUAUAUAUAUAUAUAAUACGUAUAUAUAGUUAUAUAUAUCUGUAUAACCUACCUAUAUAUAUAUAUGAUAUAUAUAUAUAUAAAUAUAGAUAUACUAUAUAUGUAUAUAGAUAUAUCUAUAUAUAGCAUAUAUAGAUAUAUCUUAUAUAUAUAUACAUAUAUACAUAUGAUAUAUAAUAUAUAUAUACAGUAUAUAUAUAUAUAGUAUAUAUAUAUAUAUAUAAUCUUAUAUGUAUAUAUGUAUAUAUAUAUAGAUAUAGUCUAUAUAUGUACUAUAGUAUAUAUAUGGAGUCGGUACUAUACUAUCGGUAGCACGGAGCGCUCCGUGCUACCAAGUUGUUUUGAUGAUGCGGCUUCCAAAUCAACGAUCGGCUCCGUUAGACGUUGAUCUACACUAUUGAAAGUAUUUGGAAACUAAAUUUCAAGGUUUUUUUUACAUCAUUGACUAGUGAUCAAAAGAUCUCAAAAUUUGACAAUUUUAAUGGGCCUAUGUGGUGUUUGUGAGUUUAACGGCUGUAAAACAAUCCAAAUGCGGAUGAAAAUUUUAUAGAAUUCUUUUCACUAUAUUAGAGAAAGAUCAGCAUAUCUGAUCUUGGAAUUUAAAUCUUUAUCAUCCAUUUUUUAUGGAGCAUUUUUAUUUCAUGCCGUUCAAUUUGUGAGGGCUACUUGUGUUGGUAGGUUAAAUGGUAUUGAAAAAUUAUAAAAUUUAGUUUUCUAAAUACUUUUUUAAAUGAGUGUAGAUCAAGUCUAACGGAGCCCGGAUCGUCGAUUUGGAACCGCAUCAUCGAAAACAACUGGUAGCACGAGCCGCUCCGUUGCUACCGAUAGUAUAGUCAGCCUAGCUUAUAUAUAGUAUAUAUAGGUAUAUAUAUAGUAUAAGUAUAGUAAGUAUAUAUAUAUAUACAUAUAUAUGUAUAUAUAAUAUACAUAUUUAUGUUAUAUAAUAUACAUAUAGUAUGUUAUAUAAUCUAUAUAUGAUACUAUAUGUAGUAUAUUUUGUAUACAUAUAUAUAUGUUAUAUAUGUAUAUACAUAUAAUAUAAUAUAUAUAUGUAUAUUAUAUGUAUAUAUAAUAGUAUAUAUGUAUAUGUAUAUGUAUAUAUAUAUAUAUAUUAUGUAUAGUAUAUAUAUGUAGUAUGUAUAUGUAUAUGGUAUAGCUUAUAUAUAUUAUAUAUAUAGUAUUAUAGUAUAUAUGUAUAUAGAUGGGGUAUACAUUAUAUAUAAUGUAUAUAUAUCAUGAUAUGGUAUGGUACUCCGUGCUGUAUAGUAUAUAUAUAUAUGUAUGGUAUAUAGUAGUAAAUAUAUGUAUGUAUAAUAUAUAUGUAUGUAUAUAUAUAUAUAUGUAUAUAAUAUAUUAUGUAUACAUAACAUAUAUAUAUAGUGGUUAGUACGAGUGUUUGAUUAUUAAGAGUAGAUAGUGUAGAGGUACAUAUGAUUGAUAAUUGUAUAAGAGGGGAUACAGGAUAUAUAUAGUAUGUAUAGUGAUAUAAUAUUNNNNNNNNNNNNNNNNNNNNNNNNNNNNNNNNNNNNNNNNNNNNNNNNNNNNNNNNNNNNNNNNNNNNNNNNNNNNNNNNNNNNNNNNNNNNNNNNNNNNUUAUUUAUAGACUUUAGAAUCAAUCGGAGUCGAAUUAGAAAGUUUUCACGGUUUUACACUGUGUACUGGUACACUUUAAGCUGUUACCGGUUACACGAUGACGGAACGAAAAACCUGACGAAACAGUGAAACCGGUUACAUCCUUGAUGGUCGUACUGGUACACAUUUUGUACCGGUACACUUCUGAUGCUGUACCGGUACACUUUGCAAAUUUCCGCCGUUUCGGGUUUUGCAAAGUCCCAAUGCACUUUCUAAUUCGUUAGACAUUGAUAACAUGAUUCUAAUGUCUACAACUAAGUAUGAAUCACCAUAACAUGAAUUUAUACUUUACCUGAGCAUCGUGAUUCAUAUCGUGAGUUAUUUUCCAACUUUUUCAAAAUCCUGAUUUCUUCGAUCUUCGACGAUAUGCACUGGUUCUUCAAGACUCCGACUCACUUCACGAAACUUGCCAAUACACAAGACUUAACAACCUUAGGCCGGUUGGACUAUAGGAAAUAGGCUCGUGAGAGACGAGGUCUAUUUGACUUGUGAGCGAAAGUAUCAUGAUUGGGUAUCUUGAUAACUCUAUAAAGUUGGAGUUGAUCGAAGUGUAUGACUUCUAACUUCGCGGAGGGUUACGUUGGCGGCCGACAACGUAACAUCGGGAGUUAGUGGUGAAGAACACUUCCUUACUUUCGCAUGAUUUGGGUAUUAUCUUUUGAGCGGGGGUUCGAUAGCGUGGGUUUACUAACUUGCGCUUUUAUGAUGUUGUAGUGACGAUGCCGAUUACACGCUCUCAAUCUACCAGAGCGGAUAAUGCGGCAAACUUGGAGGAGGUCGAGACCUCCGCUACCUCCGGAUCCGGUGAGGUCCGUGAGUUGAGGGGCCAGCUUGCGGCCCUCACUGAUAUGGUGGCACAGCAGACAGAGGCAGCGCGCCGGCAGGAGGCGCGGAUGAAGCGCCUGGAGGACCUUCUUCUGCAACAGGCGGCAGCUUCCAGGGAAACUCAGGCCCCUACACCGCCAGCACCAGUCGUGGACGUCACGCCGAGAGCGCCAUCCCCCGCGCCCAGUUCUUCGUGAGCAGCGCCCAUGGCCGCGCCUCAGGAGGAGGCUAUCGCGGCACCACCUGUGCAGAGGCCCCCAGUUGGAGCAGCUUUCCCUACCUUGGUCGAGGGAGUGGAGCGGGACCGACUCAUGGAGCGCCUCAACGAGUUCAGGAGGUGCAGUCCCCGAAUCUUCGACGGCGAGAAGGUCGACCACUGGAUCGUAGAGAAGUGGUUGAUGCAUAUGGAGAAGCUCUUUCGCGACACCUUCGUGGAGGAGAGGGAUCGGGUUUGGCUCGCCACACACCACCUGGACGGCGAGGCCUAUCGCUGGUGGUUGGAUCUCCAGGAGCACCCCAGCACUGAUUUGGCAGCUAUUACUUGGAAGAGGUUCAAGGAGCUUCUUUUGGCGCAUUACUUCCCGACUAGCGUCAAGAGGAAGAUGGAGCAGGAUUUGCGCAACUUGCGCCAGGGAGACAGGACAGUAGCCGAGUACGAGCGGGAGUUUUCUCGGCUUUUACAUUGCGUGCCUUUCGUCGUGCGGGACGACGAGGACAAGGCCCGCAUCUUCGAGCGAGGGUUGCGACCGUCGAUCUUCCGGUUUGUGCAAUCCUCUAACCUCCAAACCUACCAGGAGGUGGUGGAUCGCGCGCUCAUCGUGGAGAGCGGCACGGCAGAUGUCCAAGAGCGGCGAGAGGCUAUGGACAAGGGUAAGGCCAAGAGGCCUGCGGCUGAGGGUGCGAGCCAGACGCACUCUAGGAGGCCGCCGAAGCAUCCUAGGAGCCAGCAGCGUGGGCGUGGCUCGGCGACUCACCAUGGAGGUUCUGACCGACGCCGACCUCCCCAGUGCGUGAUCUGUGGUGGCCCCCACAUUCCACCGCAGUGCCCGCAGCGAGGAGGGAGGUGUUUCCAGUGUGGCCAGGAGGGCCACUUUCGGACCGAGUGCCCGAGGGGUUCGUCACCGGCACCGUCAUCUGCAUCGGCACCGGCUCUACCAGCCGCCAGCCACGGGACUCCAUCAGCGCAGUACCAGCUCGGGCGGCCACCCGCCCAGCGCCAGAGCGAGGGUUCUCGACAGGCCCCGAGUGGGCGUAUGUAUGCCGCUCAGACCGAGGAGGCGGCAGCAGCCGAGGAUGUGGUCGCAGGUAUCAUUUUUACUUGAUGCAUUAGAGUUCGUGCAUUAUUUGAUACCGGUGCAUCGCAUUCAUUCAUAGAUCGGCUGUUUGCCGAGUUGCAUGGCAUCCCUAUGUUUUCUUUGUUGCAUCCGGGACGUGUAGUUGUCCCUGACCACUCUUUGGAUAUUAGAGAGUAUUGCCCCAGUUGCCCUAUUCGGGUAGGAGAUUGGAUUAUGUCCGUGGACUUGCUAGCCUUGCGCAAGCUGGGGGAGUUUGAUGUGGUCUUAGGCAUGGAUUGGUUGACCAAGUUUUAUGCCACGAUAGAUUGCAAGAAUCGCACGGUUACUUUUAGAGAACCGGGGCAAGUUGAGGUGAUAUUUAGAGGAUGCCAGAGUUCGCUUUUUGCGAUGACGAUCAGCUCGUCUCGAGCUAGGCAACUGAUCAGCAGAGGUUGUGUAGCCUACUUGGCUAGUGUUGUGUUGAGGGGCGAGGGUGAUACCCCGAGGAUUGAGGAUAUUCCGGUGGUACGGGAGUUUUGUGACGUGUUUCCAGCUGAGCUACGGGGCAUGCCACCCGAUAGGGAGAUUGAGUUUGUGGUAGAUCUCAUCCCUGGGACUACUCCAAUCUCGAAAGCGCCCUAUAGGAUGUCACCGGCGGAGCUGAAGGAGCUGAGGGCACAGCUGCAGGAUCUUCUGGAUAAAAGCUUCAUUCGACCGAGCGUCUCGCCUUGGGAAGCACCAGUUUUGUUCGUCAAGAAAAAAGACGGAUCACUUCGCCUAUGCGUGGACUAUCGCGAACUUAAUAAAGUCACGAUUAAGAAUAAGUAUCCGUUGCCGAGGAUCGACGACUUGUUUGAUCAGCUUCAGGGAUCGUGUGUGUAUUCCAAGAUCGAUUUGCAGUCGGGAUACCACCAGUUAAAGAUCAAACCCGAGGAUGUAUCGAAGACGGCUUUUAGAACCCGGUAUGGACAUUAUGAGUUCACUGUUAUGCCGUUCGGGCUUACUAAUGCCCCCGCAGCUUUUAUGGAUCUAAUGAAUCGUGUUUUUAAGCCUUAUCUAGACAGGUUCGUCGUGGUGUUCAUAGACGAUAUUUUGGUUUAUUCCCGAAGUGAUACAGAUCACGAGGAGCAUUUGAGGCUUGUACUUCAAGUACUUCGGGAAAAGGAGCUCUAUGCCAAGCUAAAAAAGUGUGAAUUUUGGCUUCGAGAGGUAGCUUUUCUUGGACAUUUGAUUUCAGGAUAGCUGUGGAUCCUAAGAAGAUUGAAGCAAUCAAGGAUUGGCCGAGACCGACGAGCGUCACGGAGAUACAGAGCUUCCUUGGAUUGGCCGGGUACUACCGGAGAUUUGUUGAGGGGUUCGCCAAGCUGUCUACUCCCCUCACGAGGCUCUUAGGAGAGACCGGUCUCCCAGGGACCGGUCCCUCAGGUGAGGACCGGUUCCCGAACGCGAAAAGUCCCCAGACUGCAGGGAGAGCUCUCGGGGACCGGUCCCUUGUCGGGGAGACCGGUCCCUCUGGGCGAAAACAGCCCAGUGAUAGCAGGUUGAGAGAUGAAAAGUUGAGGGGCUAAAGUAGAUUUUGUUACAAUAGAGGGGCAUAUUAGCCCACUCCCCCUCUCAGCCUCUCAUUUCUCUCUCUCCCUCACUCUCAUUUCUCUCUCGCUCUUUCUCUCUCUAAAAAGGAAAGGAGAAAAAGAAGAACAAGAAGGAGAGGAAGGAAAAGAAGAAGAAGAUAAGGAAGGAGAAGAAGAAGGAGAUCAAGAGGAAGGCUUUGAGCACCUCCAUCUCCCUCUCCUCUUCUCUUUGGUGUAGCUCGUGAGGUAAGCUACUAAACCCUAGCUUCUAGAACUUAGGGUUUUGGGUUUUUAUGCUUUGGAGUGGGUCAAAUGGACCCUAGGCAAGCUUCUAAGUAGAUCAAUCCCUUGAUUCUAGGGUUUUAUCGGUGGGUUGCUAUAUGUGCAACCUAGGGCUCCAAAUGGGGCAUUUUGUAAAGUAUGAGAUUGAUCUCAUUUGAGGCCUUGUAAACCCCAUCGAUAGGUGCCCAAACGCGGGGGCGAAGUCGAUUUCGCGAUUCGUCAAGCGGGCUUAGAGCAAUCGGCGGAUUACGGUCGUUUCGGCGCUAUCUUGGAUUAGGGAAGGCUAAAGCCUUUUCGUAAAGCUCGCCGAGGAGCGUUCUUGAGGCCUCUACGUUGAUAAAAGGUGGGGGGUGUCAUCCCGAAGCUUUCGAACUCCUUUCUAUGUCUUAGAUUGCAUUUAAUCUCAUCUCUUCAUGUUGCAUUGUAGGAUUGCAUAGUAGCUCCAUUCCUUAUGCUUUCUAAAUGAUAACCUAGUGUACUUGGAACGCUUGGUAACUUAGAUAGGUGAGGAUUGGGUCGGAACGUGGAUCCUAUGAUGUAAAAGAAAAGAGGUGAACCCGAUGGGGGUAUUGAUGACAUAGAAGGUAGUGUUAGUGUUAAAGAACACAUGAGUGGCAUCCAAAUGUUAAAUGAUGACGAGUGGCAUUAAUGUAGUGUAUAUGACACUAGAGGUUUGAGAACCUAGGGAUAGGUGGAUCCCUUAGAAAAUGCCUUGUGAACAAUGAAUUUAGAAAACUAAAUAGCAUUGCAUGAAUGUCGGGAACCGAUGAUUCCGCGAUAGUCGUUGACCCUAGUGUAGGGCGUCCUCACUUGGAGAGGAUUCGAUUGGGUUAUUGACUCUAGUUGUAGAGCCUCCUCACUUGGAGAGGAUUGGAUUGGGUGUUGACCCUAGUUACAGUGUAUCCUCACUUGGAGAGGAUAGAUCUAGCUCACAGUCUGCGUUUAGGAUGGUAUAGCCAUCCAAUCCCCACAUGGAGGGGAUUGUCGUCGAGUACUCCGGAGUGUCGCGCGACUAGGACCACUUGGAGGUCCGGACCACAUGGAGGUCCGCAGACGGUCCCGGGCUUGGGUGCACUUGGAGCUCCCUCCCCACUUUGGGAUUGGAAGAUGAGUUAUGGGUGAGCCCUAGGGCCUCGCCACAGAUUGGGUAAAUGAAAGGUUAAAGGUUUAAUAAAUGUCAUUGAACAUAGCUAUUCGAACAUGGAUCGAAUUUGGUAGCAUGGUAGCAAACCUUUAUUAUAUGAUGCAUGCAUUCAUAUUCAUGAUUAUGGGCAUAGUAGCAUAGUUUUCCUACUACUGCAUUUACAGCUUUCAGAUACAUAUCUAUCUAUCUAUCUAUCUGUUGUUACUUGUGCCCACUUGGACCUAGUGGGGAGAUCGGCAGAGUCGGCGGCCGAGCCCACUGGGAACUAUGGAAGAUAGUUCUCACCCCACUCUAUUUUCAGUAGUAGGUACAGGGUUAUCGAGAGAGGACCACGGCAAGGGCAUCGCGCCCGAUCAGUGAGACCGUGGUAGUAUAGUAGCUUUCCUUUUGCAGUAGCACACCUAUGUAUUGCGAGAGAUUCAUGUAGGUGAGGCUGGAGAGUUAUGUAUUUUGAGGAUCAAAUGUAUUCAUUUUGGAAAAUGAUGUAAAUGUAAAGAAUGCAACUAUUGUAAUAGUUAGUAAAGUACUCUCUUUAUUUCACUCGUAUAUCUUGUGGAUUACUUGCUCUUCUUGUUGUUGGCACUGUUUGUGCCCUCGUUGAAUAUGUAUGUUUAGAAUUUAAAGCCCUGGGUAAAUUCUUGUGCACAUUCAUGUUAUUGAGCCUUGGGCGGACAGGAGAGGUGCUGUCCGUUCGGCGGACCGUCGCCACGGCCGAAUCGUGCCAAAUUGGUAGUGGUUUCGGGGCGGGGCGUGACAGCCAGCCUCUCGCCAACUUCACUCCAAUGAAGUGGCGAUCUACACUUCCGUCCAUAAAGUGCCUCGAAGGGUGCCAUCUUGAUGCUUGCUUGAUAACUAUUGUUAUAAGCAAACUCCGCCAUCGGUAGAUGCUGCGACCAUCCUCCCUGGAAGUCAAUCACACAUGCUCGGAGCAUAUCCUCUAAAGUACGAAUGGUGCGCUCCGACUGUACGUCACUCUGAGGGUGGAAAACAGUGCUGAAAUCCAAUCGGGUGCCCAAGGCGUCCUGUAGACUCCUCCAAAAGUGAGACACAAACCGAGUGUCUCGGUCCGAUACUAUCGAUAUAGGCACUCCAUGAAGUCGCACAAUCUCAUCAAGGUACACUUGUGCGAGCUUCUCUCCGGUCCAAGUAGUAUGAAUAGGUAUGAAGUGUGCCGACUUCGUCAACCUAUCCACGAUCACCCAUAUAGCCUCAUGCCCGGCCUGAGAGCGGGGCAAUCCAGUCACGAAAUCCAUGGUGAUCUUCUCCCACUUCCACACGGGAAUAGGCAAACUCUGAAGUUUUUCCGCGGGUAAUCGAUGCUCAGCCUUUACUUGUUGGCAAGUUAGACAACGAGCUACAAACUCGCCAACAUCCUUUUUCAUCCCGGGCCACCAAUAGAAUAACUUUAAGUCCUUGUACAUCUUGGUGCCAUCCGGAUGUACAGCAUACGGUGCUCGGUGUGCUUCAUGAAGAAUGUCCUCUUUGAUUUCCGCAUCCGCCGGUACACAUAACCAUCCGCGAAAACACAUCAAUCCUUGGUCAUCCACAAGGAAAUCGCCGGUGCAACCAUUAACCAUUUUAUCUCUAAUCUUUUGCAACUCCGUAUCGGAAGCUUGCUUCUCUUUAAUCCUAUCCACAAGUGUAGGUUGCACCACCAAAGUCAUCAACCUUAAAGACGUGUCUGGAGUCACUACCUCCAACUCCAACCGCUUCAUAUGCUCGAUCAACUGCGGUUGAGCCACAACAUGCAUCGCUAAGUUUUCUGUCGAUUUCCUACUUAGCGCAUCCGCCACCACGUUAGCCUUGCCCGGGUGGUAUAAAAUUGUCAGGUCGUAAUCCUUGAGCAGUUCCAACUAUCUGUGCUGUCUCAAGCUCAACUCCUUCUGAGUGAACAAGUACUUCAAGCUCUUGUGAUCCGUGUACACUUCACACCGCUCGCCAUAAAGAUAGUGGCGCUAUAACUUCAAUGCGAAGACUACGGCCGCCAACUCCAAAUCAUGCGUCGGGUAGUUCUUUUCAUAUUCCUUUAGUUGGCGCGAAGCAUACGCGAUCACUUUGCCAUCCUGCAUCAACACACAACCCAAUCCAUUAAGUGAAGCAUCACUAUAAACCACAUACCCUGCUCCAGCCAUCGGCAGGGUUAGGAUCGGGGCGGUCGUCAAUCUUUGCUUCGAUUCUUGGAAGCUUCUCUCGCAUGCAUCAUUCCAAAUGAACUUGACUCCUUUAUGCGUGAGACCGGUUCCCGAAAGGGGAACCUUCAGGACUUAGCCAAAUUUAGGCUUCCUCUCGCGGGUGUCGCGCACGGGGACCGGUCCCCUCAGCCAGGGACCGGUCGCAUCGGCCUUGCCCCGCGACCCUCAGCUACGGGGACCGGUCCUUCCCUCUAGGGACCGGUCCCCGAGAGCAAAAAUCUGCUGAGUCCAGAUUUUAUCUAUUUGCUCUCGCGGACUCAACUCCAAAGCACUUUUUGUGUUUUGGGCAUUCUUAACUCCCACAAAGGGUAUUCUCUCGACAGUGAGUCGAUCCUGGACAAAGUACAAUCCUCGUAUUUCGAGAAUUCACUUCCUUACACUGGCAUUAGGCUCUGACGUGCUCCAGGAAGCUGAGGACAAGAUUCGUAUUGCUCGGGAGCGACUUUUGACGGCACAGAGUAGACAUAGGAGCUACGCCGACCGACGACGGUGAGACUUGGAGAUCCAAGUUGGAGACCAUGUUUUCUUAAAGGUCUCGCCGACUAGAGGGAUCAGGAGAUUCAGGAUUCGGGGAAAGUUGAGCUCCCGUUUCAUUGGACCGUAUGAGAUUUUGGAACGUGUAGGUCCGGUAGCGUAUCGACUUGCUCUACCACCGAACCUAUCGGGCGUACACAACGUCUUCCAUGUAUCGGUCCUUCGGAAGUACAUCUUCGACCCGACUCAUGUGUUGGAUGCUACACCUGUGGAGUUGCGGGACGACUUGAGCUUCGAGGAGCAACCAGUGAAGAUCUUGGCUCGCGAGGUUAAGAAACUACGGAAUCGGGACAUUCCGUAUGUAAUGGUCCUUUGGAGCAACCACGAGGAUCGGGAGGCCACGUGGGAGCUAGAGAGCGCGCUGCAGGAGCGCUAUCCCCAUCUCUUACAGAUGGAGUCUUGAGGUAUGUAGUUUGAUUUCGAGUUUCGCGGACGAAACCCCUUUUUAGGAGGGGUGAAUGUAACACACUGGACCUUUGCAAAUUGCGAGGUUCAAGUGUUUGAUCUGUGUUCCGAGCUUUGCCAGAUAUUCUGGAAGGUCGUUGACAGUGUUUUGACCUAUGGCUCGCAUCCCAAGAAUUGAGGUUUAAAGCUUGUACCAAAAUCCAAAAAGAUGGAUUGUUGGUCCUGCUCUCGGGUCAGCCUCAGCCAGGCUGUGUACCGGUACAGCCUUGAUGGUUGUACUGGUACAGGAUUUGUACCGAUACACCUUGAUGAUUGUACCGGUACACUUCGGGUUUUCUACCAACCCGAGGCUCGGGUUGGGCUGUUUCAUAGGAAGUGUACCGGUACACUUUCCCGUGUACCGGUACACUUUCCCGUGUACCGGUACACAAUGCAGACUGGGCUGUUUUCGAGGAGGGGUGUAUUUGCAAUUAUUGCAACCUCUUUAAAUACCACCCCAGCCCCUUUAGCUGCUCUUUUGAGCCCUAGACCUGUGGAGAAAAGGUGAGAACUCUUCCCCUUUGGAUUCUUCUCCAUUUUUGGUGGAUUUUAGUUGGUUUUGAUCUCUCCUUUCUUCUCCUCCUUGUUUUUUGUUGGGUUUCCUCCAUUGUUGAGACUUGGAGCUUGAAGAAGAGCUUGUUUGAGAAGAGAUCUCCAACCCUACUUGGUUUGGAGCUUGGUUUGGGGCAUCUUGUGAGGUUUGUAGCAUGUAUUUCUCUUUUCAUACAUGUUUUAGUGGAUUUGGAUCUUGUAACCCUAGAUUUUGAGAUUUAGGGUUAGAACUAGGAACUUUUGAUUUGAGGCUUCUAGAACCAAAUUGAUUGGUUUAGAAUCAUGGUUUAGGUUGGCUUUGAAGGAUUCUUACUCCCUUUUGGAAAUCAAGAGAGAUUUUCACCAUUUUCGGUGAGUUUUUAGCCCUUUCUUUGAGUUGCUUAAUGUUUGAACUCAUGAAUUGUCGUUUCGAUGUUACUCCCCUAGCCUAUCUCUUAGGGUGCUAGGAGUGAUUAUCGAAGCUUCGUUAGCGUUUCGGACGCCCGCGCGGAGCUUUUGGUGGGUUCGGCUUCAUGUGAAUAGGGGAAAAUUCCUCCUAAGGGGUUAAUAUGUGUUGUAUUAUCAUUUUGCAUGCAUUUUCAUACUAGAUAGGAUUUAUGUGAAUUUUGAAUACUUAAAAUGCAUGUGUUGCGUAUCAUGAAAAUCCUUCUCUACAUAGUAGAGCAUUAUGUGUAGUGUACAUGAAUGUUUAAAGUAUUCUCUUUUUCAAGUUGGAAAAUAUGUUGCAUGUGAGGAAGAUGGUUGAAAUAUGUAUUCAUGAAUAUUAAACUCAUGUUUGAAUAUAGUGAACUAGAAUGCCAUAAAGGGGCACUUGACUUAGCAAAUUGUGAAAUUGCAACAUAGAGACAUAGUGAUAGGCCAUCGAGACAUAUGCUAUAUUUCAUGUUUUAGACAUGACGACAUAGUGAUAGGCCAUUGAGAUAUUUUCCACAUUCCAUGUUUUAGACAUGAUGACUUGGUAUUUGAGACGGACUUUUACGCUUGCUUGCCAUUGUGCUCAUUCACACAUGCUUGUAAGGGUCGCUCCCUACAAGCCGGCACUCCGGAGAUAGCCAUCGCGACAUAUGCUCGCUCGUGCGGGAUUGGGCGCCGAAAUGGAAUGCCGUGGGGGAAGCUCAUUCCUAGAGUGGGGAUGUUGACUACCACGGGGCCAUUAGGCACGGCGCAGGCCAGACAGCCUACGGAUGGGUCUUACAUGAUUGGAACUUAGUGACAGAACAUGCCAUUUGGACUUUGACCAGAAUAGUAAACAAUGACAUUUACUAUUUAGCUUGUGGACAUUAUGUUAGUGAUGCUCGUUUAUAUUCUGUUACAGUAGCUUUAUUACUUAUGCAAUUCAUGCUAAGUAGAGAUAUCAUGUUGUAGUAAGUUACAUGUUUACUUACAUAUCGAUUCUAUUGCUUUUAUUGUUACUUACCUGUUUAGCUCUUUUGGGCCUAGUGGUGCUUUCACUGAAGUCAGUAAUUGCCACUGGGAACUAUUAUUUAAUAGUUCUCACGCCCCCGUUUCUAUGGUUUUAUUUCAGAGCCCUCUACACCGGUGGAGGCACGGGACCGCGGCAAGGGGAUCGCUUAGCUAGCUAGCGAGGAGCGUUUCUUUUGCAUUUUGGUAGUUCGCUCUCCUUUUGUUGUAGUUGAGAGAGAGAGAGUUAUGUUAGUACCUUGUAUAGAGAGACCACCUAUGUAUCUGGUUUAGCAUUUGUACUUUGGAUGUUUAUUGUACUACUUUCUAUUUUUUCUUAGUGGAUUUAGCUCUAUAUUCAUUUCGGUUAUUGUAGCAUCUAGACAUACUUGCUCUGAUACUGCUAGAUGUUUUCUUUAUCUUGCUUUAUUUAUCGUUUUAUUUUAGACGCCUUAUAUGUUUUAGACGUAUGCCGGGUCUGGGCACGUGCCGGGCGGGCUUUCGCUGGGUCCCGGGGCGUGACAACGGAACUCAUAGCAAGUAUGAUCCAUUCUUAACUCUAAGGAUAUAUAGUUCAAUCAUUGUCUUUACACUAACUCUAGUGUUCUUUACAUCACUUUAUUUUGCUAACUCUAGCAAUCAUCGUUCUUUAACUUUACUCGUUCUUUAUGCCAAACUUUGCAUUAACUUUAACCAUUAUCAUUGUUCUUUUCAUCACAUUGAUUCUUUGAUGCCACACACUAACUUUAGUGUCGACUAUAUACUUUCGAAUGCCACUCGAUCUAUGCUCAUUGUGUCUCGUUGUUCUUUUGCCUCACUUGGGUGCUCACAUUUUAUCUCAUGCAUACAUAUAGGGUUAAACAUUCAUAGGGGUUCUCAACCAUCUCAUUAGGCAAAUUGUACUCACAACAUGCAACAUUACAUUAUUCUCAUUACAUAUACCCUACUAUGCUUGCAACAAUGUAUAUAACAUAUACUCAAUUGAAUGACACACUAGGCAUAGAAGGAAGUUCAACGAGUUUGGAUAGCACCACCCACCUCGUAGGUUCUCAAAGGUGCUCCGACGAUUUUCUUGGGAUUUUUAGACACCCGGUUCGCUACCUGCGAGUUAACGAAGCCAAAUUAGGCUUAUUUGGCCGUAACUUUACAUCGGGUUUUCGUAACGUUAAUCCGAGCACACCAACGCGUCGGAAAUACCCCCAAUUAGGUUUCUAGAGGGUCAAUUGCACUUUAGAACCCUCGCAAGCAAAAGCCCCAAUUUUGGUGCCCUAGCUCAUAACAUACAUCAAACCUAGGGUUUGAUCUCAUUGGGAAGCAAAAGAAGCUUCAUUCUACGCUAAAGACUCCACAAAAACCAUCUUUAGUUCAAUCCAAACCCUAGUUUGGAUUCUACCAUGAGAGGGGUUGAAGCUCUCCUUCAAGCUUCACCUUCCACACCAUUCCAUGGUUUUGAUCUCAAAAUGAAGCAAAAGAUAGCUUCAAACACUCUAUAGGUUCUAUUAAAACCAUUUCUAGGUCCAUCCAAACCCUACUUUGAGCUUUACCACUAUUGGGGUUCAAAGCUUACCUUGUAAGCUUUCCUUUUCCAAGCUAGGGAAGGAGAGGAGGGGUCUUCUUCUCUUCCUUGCCUUCUUCUUCACCUUCUUCCUCUUCUUUUCCUUUCUUCUUCUUGUCUUCUUCUUCUCCUUCUUGUCUUCUAGAGAGAGAAAGAGAGAUGAGAGGGGGAGUGUGAGGGAGAGAAUGAGAUGAAAAGCCCUCAAAGCCCCCCACUUAACCAUUGGGUUGCACAAAUGCAAAUAGGCCCCUCAACUUUCACUUUAUUGAACUGCUUGAACUGGGCAGUUUUCGGGUUCGGGGACCGGUCUCCCAACUUGGGACCGGUCCCAGAGAGCUCUCCCGCAGCUCAGUGAGGGCCUUCGCACGAGGCAACCGGUCUCUCCCACAGAGACCGGUCUCUCGGGGACCGGUCUCUCCCCGCAGGGACCGGUUCCCGAGAGCUGGUUUUCUGGGACUUAGCCGAUUUGCAGCCUUUCUCAUUUCUCACGCGUUCGGGGACCGAUCUCUACCACCAGGGACCGGUCCCCGAGAGCUCAAAAACUGUAGUUUGCAGAUUUUUGAUUCUUUAGCUCUCGAAAACCUCCCACAACGCAUUUUUGAUCAUUUUAACACCUUCGGACUUUCCGAAGUGUACCACCCUCGCACUUUGGUCAAUUUGACUAAAGUUCGAUAUUUAUUUUUCAAAUUUUCGGUAUAUUACAUUCUCCACCCUUAAAAUAAUUUCGUCCGCGAAAUUACGCAUACCUUAACUCGUCGAUUCAAAUAGAUGUGGAUACUCUCUCCGCAUGAUCUCCUCGAGCUCCUAAGUGGCUUCUCGCGCCGCAUGGUUGCUCCAUUGGACCUUCACAUAUGGAAUUCUGCGACUCCGCAGCUUCCUUUCUUCUCGAUCGAGGAUGCACACCGGGUACUCCUCGUAAGACAUAUCUUCACGUAGCUCCACGGGCUCGUACUCCAAUAUAUGUGUCGAGUUUCGAAUAUACUUUCGGAGAUUUGACACAUGAAAAAUAUUGUGAACUCCUGCGAGUCUCGAUGGUAGUGCGAGCUUGUAUGCUACCGCACCCACACGCUCCAAUAUCUCAAACGGUCCGACAUAACAGGGACUUAGCUUCUCGUGGACCCCAAACCGCUUUACUCCUCGCAUCGGCGAUACUCUCAAAAAUACGCGGUCUCCAACCGCGAACUCUAAAUCUUUUCUUCUCUUGUCGGCAUAACUCUUUUGCCGAGAUUGUGCCGCCGCUAACCGUUGACGGGCAAGGCGAACUGUAAUGCAUUGGAAAAUUGACCUUGAGCUAAUUGUAAUCAAGUUGAUCACAAUGAUGUCAAAAUAGAAAUUAAGUGUUAAUGAACUUAAUUAGUAGAUUGAGAACAACAAUUGACUUAUUUUGGAACUGUGUAAGUGGGCUCGAAGUGAAUCGGAAGUGCCAAGUGUCACGCCCCGCCCCGAAACCACUACCAAUUUGGCACGGUUCGGUCGCGGCGACAGACCGCCGAACGGACAGCACCUCCCCUGUCCACCCAAGGCUCAACAACAGGAAUGUGUACAAGGAUUUACCCAGGACUUUAAAUUCUAAACAUACACAUUCAACGAGGGCACAAACAGUGCCAACAACGAGAAGAGCAAGUAAUCCACAAGAUAUAGUAUGUGAAAUAAAGAGAGUACUUUACUAACUAUUACAAUAGUUACAUUCUUUACAUUUACAUCAUUCUCCAAAAUGAAUACAUUUGAUCCUCAAAAUACAUAGCUCUCCAACCUCACCAUCAUGAAUCUCUCUCAAUACAUAGGUGUGCUAAUGCAAAAAGGGAAGCUACUAUACUACCACGGUCUCACUGAUCGGGCGCGAUGCCCUUGCCGCGGUCCUCUCUCGGCAACCCUGUACCUACCACUGGAAAUGGGAUGGGGUGAGAACUAUAUUCCAUAGAUUCCCAGUGGUCGGCCGCCGACUCUGCUGAUUCUCCCACUAGUGUCAAGUUGGGCAUCAGAGCAACAAACAGGUAGAUAGAUAGAUAGAUAUCUGAAAGUUUGUAAUAUGCAAGUUAGUAGCGAAAACUAUGCUUACAUAUGCCCAUAAUCAUGUAAUGUGGAUGCACUGCAUCUAAUAAAUAAGUUUUUACCAGGGCUAACAGAUGUCAUAUCCAUGUUCGAAUAGCUUAGUGUUCAAUGACAUUUAUUAACAACCUUAACUCUUUAUUUACCCAAUCUGUGGCGAGGCCUUAGGGCUGGCCAAUUACUCAGUCUUCAAAUCCCAAAGUGUGGGAAGUGGAGCUCCAAGUGACACCAGCCCGGGACCGUCUGGGGACUCAUUGGUCCGGACCUCCAAGUGGUCCUAGUUCGCGGUGACACUCGCGGACACUCGACGACAAUCCCUCCUAUGUGGGGAAUUGGAUGGCUAUACACCCUAACGCGACUGUGAGCCUAAUCUAUCCUCGAGUGAGGGAUACACUUGACAACUAGGUCAACACCAAGUCGCAGAUCUCUCAAGUAAUGGAGGCUCUACAACAGCUAGCGCUCACAUAAUCCAACUCGAAUCCUCUCCAAGUGAGGAAGCACUCUAUAACUAGAGUCAACAUCUCUCGCGGGAUCAUUUGUUCCCGACAUCCAUGCAAUGCUAUUUAGUUUUCUAAAUUCAUUGUUCACAAGGCAUUUUCUAAGGGAUCCACCUAUCCCUAGGUCCAUCGACCUCUAGUGUCAUUUACACUACAUUAAUGCCACUCGUCAUCAUUUAACAUUUGGAUGCCACUCGUGUGUUCUUUAACACUAAACACUACUUUCUAUGUCAUCAAUACCCCCAUCGGGUUCACCUCUUUUCUUUUACAUCAUAGGAUCCACGUUCCGACCCAAUCCUCACCUAUCUAAGUUACCAAGCGUUCCAAGUACACUAGGUUAUCAUUUAGAAAGCAUAAGGAAUGGAGCUACUAUGCAAUCCUACAAUGCAACAUGAAGAGAUGAGAUCAAAUGCAAUCUAAGACAUAGAAAGGAGUUCGAAAGCUUCGGGAUGACACCCCCCAC
RNAcentral lists this long non-coding RNA (63438 nucleotides) under Ananas comosus (pineapple). RNAcentral describes it as "long non-coding RNA (ACOM_LNC031539)". The record is from RNAcentral. Lineage: Eukaryota; Viridiplantae; Streptophyta; Magnoliopsida; Poales; Bromeliaceae.